GGGAGUUUUUGCAGAUUUUCAAAUAAAACUCAGAGAUUCCUUGUAUGACUCUCUAAAUCUCUCUUUUGUGGUAUUUCUGGAUCCUUACCAAGGCAGUGAUGGUAUAUGCCUUCUCUCAAGAUAUGUGGUAUUUGUGGUAUAAGGCAUAGUGACAUUGCCUUCUCUCUCACCCUACUCUAAUAAGGCUUUAAUAUCUGGAGCUCAUAGGUGGGAGACAGCUAAUACAUACUUACAAGACAUUUAUUGCAUAGUCAAACCAUGGAUCCAGAGAAACAAGUCAAUAAGUCAAAUCAAGAUGUGUAUGUGUGGCAAAUGAAUGGUGUAUGGUUAUGAUGGUGAUAACAAUGGUGGAAGUCUAAUUCUACUUUUGCUCUUUUGAGGGGAUACAUACCUUCCUUGCUUUUUGAAACUUUAUGAGGAGAAUGAGAUGCUCUAUCUUUCAUUUUUUCUUUCCUCUCAGGUGGAUAUCCUGUACCCCUAAUUCUACUGUCUGACACUUGUCCAUUUUUACCUCUCGUCUCACUCUUUUUCUUUUCUUUCGAGGUUCCGGGCACUUGCCCCUUUUUAUUUCCUCGUAUAUUUUUUUCUCUUCUUUUUUUAGAGAACUCAUUUUAUGAGAUAAUAUAGCAAGUGGUAGUAACAAGAUAACUUGAGCAUUUAUUUCACAAGGAAAAACAGAAAUAUUUUUGGUUAUUCUCUCCCGAAUUAGGAGUAGAAUAUUUUGGGUGGUUCUGGAGAUGGAAAUGAGUGGAUAUAUGUGGAUGGUACUUCUGGAGUAGAAGUAGCAUAUAUGAGUGAAUGUGCAAGUGAAAUCUUGAUUUAACCACAUGACAAGCUCCUAGGGGUCUACACAGCCUGACCACACUCAAUGCUCAUAAGCAGUAAAUAGUAAAUGUGUGGCUCAAAGUCUAGCAAGCAUGUAUAUAUGGCUGUGGUAGGAAUUUAAACUUUCAUCAUACAGGAACUCAUCAUGCAAUAUUUUAAAGAUUUUUCAAAGAUAAAAUUCUCCAGAAUUCUAGCAUCUCUAGGAAGAGAUAAACAGCAGCUCAGCCUUCCGUUAACAACUUAGAUUUCAGAUCAAGGUUUCAUCCCACAAGUUUAGAUCUAGAGCAAGCUUUAAAUUAUAACAGUUAUGUCUAAACUUGAGAGAGAACUUCAAAUUUGCAAAUUAGGUAGAGCAACUAUUCAUCAUAUCCAUGCUAGAGUUUUAUUAUUAAGAUUCAGAUUAGCAUAGCCACUUUAUUUAUUAAACACACUAAGCAAAAGAUAUAUAUAUAUAAGCACAAAAUCUUUAUUUGGUUUUUCAUAGUUUAUGUAUUUUAAUAUUGUAAUAUAAUAUAAGUAUUAAGAUAGGUAGAAAUACUUAGCGAGAUAAAUGGGGGUGCUCUCCCCCAAGCUGAAUUUUGACGUAAUUUCUCUUGAUGUAGCUAGCAGGUGGCAGAGGUGUAUUUGAAAGUCAGCAGCAUUCUGACAGCGAUUAGAAUGUCCUCCGUCUGCUAGUCUUCUUGAUUCUUAAAUUCUGUGGAGCUCAAAUAGACAACAAAGCUUGUGGAACUAAUUAAGUGUUAGCAUAAAUAUCUAGCCUUCAUCAUGUUGAGCUUCCUCAAUAAAUAUUACUCUCUGUUUUUAUAUUUUUAUUUUAUAAAGCAGAAAAGAAAUAUUUAUUUUAUUUUUAUGCCACCACAGUGAAGGUACUUAUGGGUUUUAUGCCACUCGUAUACACACAUGGGGCUUAGUAUUUUUUAACAUUUUUAUUUUCUUUUCAAGAUAGCAUGAUUAACUAAUAAUCUAUUUAAGGAAAGUAAAUAAUUAAAGGGAAAAGGGAAUGCAGAAAGGAUAAAUAUGGAUAACUACCGAUCUUACCUUUCGGCGAGGGUUCAGUGUUUUAAUUCUUCUUAACAAGACUUCUCACCGUGUUCAUUCUUCAGGUGCGUCAUUUGAUUCAGGUGCGGACCUUGACGUAUGCACCUCUUUAUACGGUGUCACCCAUGUUCUUCGUUUGCCCAGCAGUUCGAAGUGCGGCGUUGGCAGUAACCUGCUCAGUGUGUUUGUGCUCGUAGAUCCAGGUCCUUCACUUGGUAGAGUCUGAGAGUUAUAAAACUCCUCCGUGUUUUGCUCAAAGUGUACCAGCUCAUAGAGACAAGGCAGAGAUCAAGUGCAUGGGUCCUGUUGGUGGAAAACACCAACAGAACCUAAAGUGUAUUUGUUCUUCUCUAACCCUAAGCAUAGUGAGCAAGACAAAGUUGAUGGAUGAAAAGUUCAUGAGUGUAGCACUUAUAACAUUUGUCAGAUCAGAUCGCUCAACCUUAUGGAAAGAUAAUCUAUCUAUGUAUAUGUCUUUUUCUUUAUAUCUCUCAAUGAUUGAAUGUGUAACUUUUUAGCUCAUAUGAUUAGGAAUGUGGGAUCAUAGAGGUAGUACUAAGAACAAGGAUUAAAGGACUAAACAUGUUGAAUCAGUUGGGUUGGUUAAUCUAGAGUUGUAAAUCAUACAUGUUUGUCUCUUUUAUUUAUAUGAACGCCAGAACCAAGGAGAAGCUUAUAAAAGUGAUAGUCAAGUACCUUAAGAUGUUAACUUGCUUGAAGAGUGAUGGUACAAUAUCACCUUGUGGAAGCUUUCCUUUCUUAGCGGUUGUGCAUCAUGUUUGUGGCACCCUCCAUGGAUCAUCACUCUAUGAUGAAUGAGCUAUGUCCUUCUUGUGCAAAUUGUUAAACUUCAUGUGUCACUCUCUUCGUCUCUGAUGUGAGUUUAUCUCCUGACUUCCCAAAUCGAUAUUGAAAGUUUUUUUUUUCUGCAGGGGUUAGUCCGACAAAAAUAUACCAAUGUCUACACAAGAAGUUUUUAGUUCAAUAACCGAACUAGACUCCAUGUCUAAUCAGAUUAAGGAAGGCUGUUUAACCUAAGCACUAUGCUUAAUUUAAAAGCCAAUAGAAGUAUGUGCAGUACUUCCAAACUAACACUUACUAGUAAAUAGACAAAGGUAGCAUGACAGCAUUUAUAGAGAUCUACUCAAGUGGAGAUGAAGUAGUGUCAUUAGUAUUUAACAAAUUGAGCAUGUCUUAAAGGUAGGGACAACCAACAUAGCCACAUGGCAAAGGAUGUUUUUAUGUAAAGUACUCCCCCAAGCUUGAAUUUUGCAGAAUUCAAGUUUGGAUGAAUUUAAUUCAAUGUUGUAUGAUGAUUGGUUGGACAUACCUUGUGCUUGUCAUUCAUCCGAUCUUCUUGCUCCAAUCCUGUAAAGGUUAGUGACAAGAAUACCCAAAGGAAUAUUUUUACAAUUAUCCUUAUAUGCUCAAUACACAAGGUAAUGUUGCAAUUAAAAACUCAUGUUACGAUUUGAUCAGUGCUUAUUUUAGGACACUAAGCUUGUCCUUGGGAAAUCAUCAAUUUAUGUCGGCGAAGUGGUUUCCCUUCCAACGCUGACCUAAAUCAAGAUCAACUCAACGAGAUCUGCAAUAUUUAUUAUAGACAUAUGCAUCGACAACCGCCCUUUUAAAGUUUUAUAAAUAGAAAGGAAGAGGGGGUUGGAGAUCACAAAUGUGGUGAUGUUGGAGAGACCAAUAGAUUGGGAAGAUGUUGCAUAUGAGCAUGGAGUAAACAAAGUGGCUAUGAAAUAAAUUCCAUGCUCAUUAAUGUUAUCUUCGUCUCCAAUCUGAAUGUUCAUAGUUUCUCUUGGAUUGGUCUCACUUAUGUCCUCUUCUAUAGUUGGAUGAAUCCCAUCUUCAAAGGGAGUCAAGAACUCACCAUUUGAAAUUGAGCCAAGGUCAGAACCCAUUAGGGCUUCUUCCUUAUCCAUCCAUUCUACACAUUCUAUCCAUUUAGAACUUGUGAUCAGGAAAGGGGAGGAGUUAGAAUUUUCAAUAUGGCUUAGCUCUCCUUCACUUGAUAUGUCAUCCUCGACUUCUUCAUAACAGGAACCAAGACAUUCUCUAGGAGAACCAUUAUUGUGAGGAUUUGAAUUAUCCCUGCUUGAAGGUCUCUUAUGGAACCAGAAGACUAAACCAUCAUCAUCUGAAAGAUUUAAGGUUGGAAUUCCUUCCUCCCUUGGAAAAUUUUGGGGUAUUGAUGGUUUAGGAUCGAUAGCUAAAGUUUGGAAUUGAAGUGGUUCUGAUCUGGCUAUCGAAACUUCUUCUUCUUGUCUAGGAACUGGUUCUGUCUCUUUCUCAGGGAUAUAAAAGCUAGGAGACUUUCCGCUCAUUAAAUGAAUCAAAUUCCAAGCUUCACUAGCGGAUAGGUGAUGGAAAGAUCCUCUAGAGGCCGCAUGAAGGGUUUGCUUAUUUUUCCUACUAAGGCCCUCAAAAAAGUGAAUUAGAAGAACUUCUUCUGGAAUAGAGAGCUUUGGGCCAGUGAGAGUAAGGUUAAUAAAGCGGUCCCAUGAUUUCCUAAGAGAUUCUUCUUCCAGUUGUCUAAAAGAAAUAAUCUCACGCCGAAGUUCCGCCACUUUGGAGAUUGGAAAAUAUUUAGAAACAAAACUACUAUAUAACUCCUUCCAAUCUCCAUGAACACUCCCUACUUUGAGUUUGUACCAAUGUCUAGCAUUUUCCGUUAAAGAGAACGGAAAGAGCUUCCAUUUGAGGGUCUCAUCGGACAUUCCUUCUAUGCGAAGGAGGUCACAGACUUGAUAAAACUCUCUUAGGUGUGUGUAUGGGUUUUCCUCACCAUCUCCUGAGAAAGGUUGUUUUUGAACAAAUUCUAUGUAUUCGGGGUCUAUCUCAAAACUAGAUGCUAUGAUAGGCUUUGAAGAUUUUGGUGGUUCGAGAUGUGUGCCCGUAGGUCUAUGAAAUUCAUAGAUAGACAUGUUUGAAUUCAUGAUAGACCAGAGAUCAAGGAUUAGAUAAGAAGAAAGAUUAGCAGAGAUGAGGCAAAGGAUAAAAGGAAAUUUUUUUUAUUUUUUUUUAGAAAAUGAUUAAGCUAGUUCGUAGUCAACUCAGCAACCGUUUCCCCGGCAACGGUGCCAAAAAUGCUUGUUGACACUUGUUAACACCACUUGAAUACUAGGUUGUCAUCCCCAGCAUGUCACUAGAGUGUACUAUGGUAUUUAUACGCACACAGAUAAUCCGCAAGCGCACGGAUACCGUUAUAGCUUUUACCCGGUUAAAGGUUUUAUCGUAUCCACAGGGAAAUGGGAGAACUGAUCUAUGCUCUAACUUAACCAAGAUAAGUAUAUAGGUGUAAAUAGGAAAAAUGGUAGAAUCGAAUAAGAACAAUAUUAAAGGUAAGAUAACAGUGAGUGAUAAUAUUGGAAUAGAGAAUAGAGCAAUUCUAGUAUAUGGGCGAUGGUAGGAGAAUAGAGAGAAUAACUAUGGUUUCUCUACUUCAAAGGGGUAUGUCUAUGUCUGGGACGAACCACGUGAUAAGAGUACAUCACAAAGGAUGCUUAUCCUUAGGCCGAUAAACCCUACCCAUCCUGCUAACGAGAGGUGGACUACAGAGGACCAACGUAACUGUCACCUACGCGGCCUACCACACGAUCCAGCUAGACAGGGGAUAUCCACAAGUAAUCUAGAUCUAAGCACCUCGCUUACACCUAUACUACAACUCUCACCUAUAGCGUCCUAUAGAUUAGAAGUACUCAAAAGAGUUGUGAACCAGAACAUACAUAAUUAGAAAUUGCAUAAUGAAUUAGAAGUAGAUUACCAUAGUCAUCCCAUGAGCAAGCUUGAUUAGAGCUUGAUCAUGACGAAGUACAACCAGAGGAAGAACCGACAAGCCUGCCUCUCCUCUAAUCCUCCUUCGCUCUCCAUCUUGCUACUAUCUAGAUCCACUCUAGUUUAGAGAAGAGAGGAGAGCUCUCAUCUCUAAACCCUAGCUUUUGCUCUGUCUAUUAAUAAUGAAUAAUGAUCAAGGGGUGCCUCCUCCAGGGGCCAGGGGGUCUGGUUAUGUAGUCCCCUCAAGUGAACGUGGGCCGUCAGAUCAAACCGACAUUGAUUGAAUGGUUAUUCUUGAUCCUUUAGGUCGGUGGAGAUCUCCCGAGAGAAAGAGUCCUGAUUGGGCUCCAAGUCAGGGCGGGCGCCCUGCCUCUGGCCCCGUUCGGCCUCCGCUUCCUUCCCUUGGCUUCUGGAGUCUUCUAAAUGUAAGAUAAUUGCACGGCAUGUUAAUAUCUCUAUGUAAUCCCGAUGUGUGGGCCUUUCUUCCAUAUUUCCUGAUAACCCCCUGCAGAAAUAGACAAACACCAAAACUCAUGGAAUUCUGUCAGAUAAAACCCUAAGUCUACAUGUUGAUUUCAUUUGGAUCCUUUUCAUUGUUUAUUUGAUAAUUAAAUUUGAUACAUAAGGAAGGUCAACAUUUGCUAUGGAUAAGGUUGAUACUACCCUCUUCACCAAGAAGAUUGGCAAAGACUUGUGUGUUGCAAAUCUAUGUUGAUGAUAUCAUAUUUGGAUCAACUAAUCAAGAUUAUUGUGAAGAGUUUGCAAAUAUAAUGUCAAAAGAGUUCGAGAUGUCUAUGCUUGCAGAGCUUAGUUACUUCUUUGGUCUUCAAAGCAAACAACUGAAGAGUGGCACAUUUGUGAGUCAAGGAAAGUACAUCAAGGACAUGCUCAAGAAGUUUGGCAUGGAAGAUGCAAAGUCCAUUAGUACACCAAUGGGAACAAAUGGUAGCUUGGACUAUGAUUUGAGUGGCCAUACCGUGGAUCAAAAGAUAUACUGGUCUAUGAUUGAAAGCCUACUCUAUGUGAUCGCAUCUAGAUCAGAUAUCAUGUUUAGUGUGUGCAUGUGUGCAAUAUUUCAAGCCUCACCAAGAGAAAGUCAUUUGAAGGCAACAGAAUAUUGAGGUACUUGAAACAUACACAAAAUGUUGGUUUAUGGUAUCCAAAAGGUGCAAAGUUUGAACUUAUUGGAUAUUCUGAAUUGGACUAUGCGAGAUGCAAAGUUGAAACAAGAAGCACAUCAGGCACAUGUCAACUAUUGGGAAGACCACUUGUCUCAUGGUCAUCUAAGAAGCAAAAUAGUAUUGCACUAUCAACCAUUGAAGUAGAGUACAUUGCGGCUGGUAGUUGUUGUGUACAAAUCCUAUGGAUGAAGGCAACCUUGAAAGACUUUUGAAUCAACUUCAAGCAUGUGCCAUUGCUAUGUGACAAUGAAAGUGACGUGAAGCUCACUAACAAUCUGGUUCAACGUCAAGAACAACGCACAUAGAUGUUCGCCAUCAUUUCAUAAGACAUCACCAACAAAAAGGGGACAUAUGCAUUGAGACCAUAGGCACCGAUAAUCAACUUGCCGAUAUAUUCACCAAGCCACUUGAUGAGAAGAGGUUUUGCAAGCUAAGGAAUGAAUUGAACAUACUGAAAGGUCCUAAUAUGGCUAGAGGGGGGUUGAAUAGCCUAUUUAAAAAUUCUACAAACUCACUAGAGCAAGAGGUUAGUAAAUGACAAAGCAAAGCUUUUUGCUCUAGCUCUAAAGGGGUGUUUGCAAGCAACCUAUCCAACAAUUCUAAUUAAUAUGAUCACUAGGCACACAAGAGCUAUGUCACUACAAGCUACACUAGUGAACUAUACUACACAAGGCAUAAUAAGAAACUAAACUAAUUACACUACUUUGCGGUAAGUAAAGGAUAGGAUGAGAAUUUUAUACCGCCGUGUAGGGGAUGAACCAAUCACCAAUAUAAAUAAUCAAGCACUGGGAGAAUGCCAAUCAAACACAAUUGAGACACUGAUAUUUCUCCUGAGGUUCACGUGCUUGCCGGCACACUACGUCCCUGUUGUGUCGACCAACACUUGGUGGUUCGGUGGAUAAGAGGUGUAGCACAAACCUCAUCCUCACUAGGACACUGCAAGAACCUACCCACAAGUGAGGUAGCUCAAUGACACAAGCACAUCACUAGAGUUACCUUUUGGCUCUCUACCGGGGAAGGUACAAACCCGCCACAAUCACCGGGAGAUGGCCACGAACAAUCACCAACUCAUGCCAAUGCUCCUCUGCUGCUCCAAGUCGUCUAGGUGGCGGCAACCACCAAGAGUAACAAGAAAACUGUAGCCAAAACAAUCCCUAAGUGCCACUAGAUGCAAUGACUCAAGCAAAUGCACUUGGAAUCACUCCCAAUCUCAUAAAGAUGUUUAAUCUAUGAAGGAGAUGAGUGGGAGGUGUUUGCUUAGGCUCACAAGGAUGUCAAGUAUACUAGAAUGCCAAGAGAGUGAGCCUCAAGCCGGCCAACACGUAUUUACAAGCCCCUCAAACAAAUAGAGCCGUUGGAUCUUUCACCGGGCAAAAUACGGGGCACCGGACUCGCUACAGGUGAGGCACCGGAUGCUGGAACAGAGCGUCUGGUGCUCCAAAAGCAGCCACAUGUUAGCUCUUUGAAUCUCACGCGUCGAACUCUAACGGUCACCUGCAAACCACCGGGCGCGCUCAAGUUCGCACCGGACGCAUCCGGUGAAGACUGAUCAGGUGUGCAGAGAGGUCUACAAACGCGUGGGGUCAAUAGACCCACACCACUGGACGCGCUCCAGAGCGUCUGGUGCUCUCAGUCAAAUUUUCUAUUGAAGUCAGGCCACACCGGACGCACACACAGGGUCUAGCCCGCAUCCGGUGCAUAACCCUAACACCACUAGAAGCAGACAGCACACCGGAUGCGCAGGCACUGCGUCCGGUGCCUCUGGGUCAGCGUGUGGUGAGUGUUUCUCACCAACAGUGCAAUGGAGAAUAUGCAUUUCAUUUUCUCAAAAGCGUCAAAUCCCUUCAAACUCCACCUCCUUCUCAAAGUGUGCCAACACCACAAAGUGUAAACCAACAUGUGCACGUGUGUUAGCAUUUUCACAAUCAUUUUCUUUGAAGGAGUUAACUUACCUCACUAGGAUCUAAAAGUAUGCACAUGAACAGUGACACCUAGUGGCACUCGAUAACUGCUUAGCCAAAGAAUUCCCCUCUUUAUAGUAUGGCUAUCUAUCGUAAAUGUGAUCGCACCCUCUAUGGUGUCUUGAUCACCAAAACCAAAACCCUAAGCAAUACCUUUUCCUUGAUCUCCAUAGGGUUUUGUUUUUCUCUUUCUUCUUUUCCAAGUUGAGCACUUGAUCAUCUUGUGAUCAUCACCAUCAUCACUAUGAUCAUCACUUGCUCCACCACUUGGCAUGUACCAACCUCAUUAAGUCUACACACAGUUAGUAUAGAGGUUAGUACUAGGGUUUCAUCAAUUAUCCAAAACCAAACUAGGACUUUCAAUCUCCCCCUUUAUGGUAAUUCAUGACAACCCUUUUACAAAGAUUUUCAAUAAAAUUUUCCUGUAUGCAUGUUGCUUGCCCAAGCAUUUUACCAUGUGCAAAGGUUAUGGACAAAUUUCAUAAACCCAAAUUGGUAGCAAUUGCUCCCCCUACAUAUUUGCUAAGAGUUUGGAUUUGAAAGCUCGCACAUAUGCUUGAAUAGGAAAUAUAGGAGUCAAUUUCUACCAAAUGAUGCUAAGGUGUAAAGAAUGGACAUUUGAAGCAUGAUACUAAUCGGAGUUGCCAAUGUAUACCAUCCUUAGCACCAUUAGUAACUAGACAUUCACAAAACUAGAACACCGCGUGAGAUCAACAUUACUGUUGGGUAUUUUAAACGCAAACAGAAAAAUCCGCAAGCGCACGGAUACCGAUGUAGCCUUCACCCGGGAGUAUUCCAGAGUAUCGAUUUUCCACAGGGAACGUGAGUGUACUAAUUAAGAUCCAAGAUCGCCCAAGGAUAACUAUAUUUUUUUGUGGGAAGAGAGGAAGUUUCCUGAGAGUUCUCUAGUUGAUCUAAGAAUCAAGAAUUACUUCAAGAUUAUCUAUAUCGGGACAUCAGAGCACUAACCACAGAAAGAGAUGAGAAGGGGGCUAGGAAGGUCUGACUACGGUCCUACAAACACCGAUCCGAACGUGGUGGAAUACGUCGACCGUUAGGGCUGUCACUACCCUAGGGCUACCACAACAAUCCGUAGGAUUGGGUGCAAUUCCAGGUAAUUGCAAGACUAAACACCACGUCUAAUCUAUUAAUUACUACUCUAGCGUUAUAAAGACUAGAGCACUUGAUGCAAGCGGGAAUCCAAUAAAUAACUUGAAUGUAAAUAAAAGUAAUUAGAGAACUCAGGAAUUAUGAAUUGAAGAACCUGGAGAACGAUGAAGAACGAACCAGAUGCUGCAAAAGUAUAAUGUUGAGGAAGAUCCGACAGAUCCGGGUCCUCCUCCGCUCUCCUCUUCUCUCUCCCUAUUUUCUAGAUUACAACUAGAACUAACUAGAACUAGAACUAGCGAAACUAGAACUAGAACUAGAUGAACUAGAACUAGAUCUAGAUGAACUAGAGGUAGAACUAGAAGAACUAGAGGGAUCCUCUCUACUUGGAUGAAGAAUUGAAACCCUAACUUUGAUUCUGUAGAAGAGGUAUGAUCUCCAGGGGCUAGGGGGUUUGGUUUUAUAGUCCCUUCAAGUGAAUCUGGGCCGUCGGAUCAAACCGACAUUGAUCGUGUGGUUUUCCUUGAAGUAUUAGGUCGGUGGAGCAUGAUCCCCGAACUUCACCCUGAUUGGUCCAGGGGGGAGGGCGGGCGCCCUCAGGACUAGGGCGGGCGCCCUGUCCCUGAGGCCUCUCGGCUUCCGCUUCGGUCCCGUGGCUUCUGGAGUCUUCUAGAUGAUAGAAAAUUGCGCAGCACGUUAAUAUAUCUAUGUAAACCCGACGUGUGGGCCUUUCCUCCAUAUUUCCUAAUAACCCCCUGCAGAAAUAGACAAACACCAAAACUCGUGGAAUUCUGUCAGAUAAAACCCUAAGUCUAGGUGUUGGUUGCAUUUGGAUCCUUUUCUAUGAUUAAUUGAUGGUUAAAUAUGUGCAUUAAGGACCGUCAACAAGCUCCCCCAAGCUUAACCUUUGCUCGUCCCUGAGCAAAGAUGAACUCAAGAGUUUCUGCAGUGGUUUCAUAACUUAAAGAUACACAUGCGUUUAAACAAGAUCUCAUCUCUGGUUAGAGUAAACUGUUAAGACUUAAAACUUACUCAUUUACCUUUCACCAUGGGACUUGUAACCGUCACUUCUGUCUUGAGUAGUUAAAAGAUAGAACAGUCUAGUCAAGCACCAUGUCUCUUGUUCUUCGAUUAACUAUAGCUCUGGAGUUUUUGCAGAUUUUCAAAUAAAACUCAGAGAUUCCUUGUAUGACUCUCUCUAGUCUCUCUUUUGUGGUAUUUCUGGAUCCUUACCAAGGCAGUAAUGGUGUAUGCCUUCUCUCAAAGUAUGUGGUAUUUGUGGUAUAAGGCAUAGUGGCAUUGCCUUCUCUCUCACCCUACUCUAAUAAGGCUUUUGAUAUCUGGAGCUCAUAGGUGGGAGACAGCUAAUACAUACUUACAAGACAUUUAUUGCAUAGUCAAACCUUGGAUCCAGAAGAACAAGUCAAUAAGUCAAAUCAAGAUGUGCAUGUGUGGCGAAUGAAUGAUGCAUGGUAAUGAUGGUGAUAACAAUGGUGAAAGUCUAAUUUUACUUAUGCUCUUUUGAGGGGAUACAUACCUUUCUUGCUCUUUUGAAACUUUUUGAGGAGAAUGAGAUGCUCUAUAUUUCUUUUUUCUUUUCUCUCAGGUGGGUAACUUGUACCCCUAAUUCUACUGUCAGACACUUGUCCAUUUUUACCUCUCGUCUCACUUCUUUUUUUUUCUUUUCUUUCGAGGUUCCGGGCACCUGACCCUUUUUAUUUCCUCGUAUCUUUUUUUUUCUCUUUUUUUUUCUUUUUUUUAGAGCACUCAUCUCCUGAAAUAAUAUAGCAAGUGGUAGUAACCAAGAUAACUUGAGCAUUUAUUUCACAGGGGAAAACAGAAAUAGGAUAAUGUUUUUAGCUAUUCUCUCCCAGAUUAGGAGUAGAAUAUUUUUGGAUGGUUUUGGAGAUGGAAAUGAGUGGAUGUAUGUGGAUGCGUACUUCCAGAGUAGAAGCAGCAUGUAUGAGUGAACGUGCAAGUGAAUCUUGAUUUUAACCACAUGACAAGCUCCUAAGGGUCUACACAGCUUGACCACACUCAAUGCUCAUAAGCAAUAAAAAGUAAAUGUGUGGCUCAAAGUCUAGCAAGCAUGUAUAUAUGGUUGUGGUAGGAAUUUAAACUCUCAUCAUACAGGAACUCAUCAUGUGAUAUUUUAAAGAUUUUCAAAGAUAAAAUUCUCCAGAAUUAUAGCAUCUCUAGGAACAGAUAAACAGCAGCUCAACCUUCCCAUAUCAUAUCCGUUAACGACUUAGACUUCAGAUCAAGUACUCUUCUCACAAGUUCAGGUUUAGAGCAAAUCUUAAUUAAUAACAGUGAUGCCUAAACUUGAGAGAGAUUUCAAUUUUGAGAACUAGUCAUGGCAGAGCAACUAUUCAUCUUUUCAUGUGAGAGCUUAUCAUAAGGGUUCAUAGCAAAUUUUUAUUUAUUUAUUUAUUUAGCAAACUAAGCAAAGAUAUAUAUAUAAGCACAAAAUCUUUAUUUGGGUUUUUAUGAUUAUGCAUCUUUUUAUUAUUUGAGUAAAAUAUAAACGUGAGUAGAAUACUUAGCUGGAUAAAUGGAGGUGCUCUACCCCAAGCUGGAUUUUGACGUAAUUCCUUUUGAUGUAGCAGGUGGCGGAGGUGUAUUUGAAUGUCGGCAGCACCCUGACAUUGAUUAGGAUGUCCUCCGUCUACUAGUCUUCUUUGAUCCUUUAAUUCUGUGGAGCUCAAAUAGACAACAAAGCUUUGUGGAACUAGUUAAGUGUUAGCAUAAAUAUCUAGCCUUUAUCAUGUUGAGCCUCCUCAAUAAAUGUUACUCUCUUUAGUAGGAUCAUAAAUUUAUUUUUAUAUUUUCAUUUUUAUAGGACAGGAAUAUAUAUAUUUAUUUUUACGCCACCACAGUGAAUGUACUUAUGGGUUUUAUGCCAUGAGCAUACUCACAUGGGGCUUACUAUUUUUAACAUUUUUAUUUUCUUUUCAAGAUAGCAUGAACCUGAUUAACUAAGCAAACUAUUUUAAAUAAUUGAAAGGGAAAAGAUAGCUACCAAGUUUACCUCUUGGCAAGGCGUUUGGUGUUUUUUUAAGUCCUCCGAACGGGACUCUCCGUUUUCUCAGUCGUCCUAGGAUUCGCUGGAUGGCGUAGUAGGUAGUUCCGGCGGUGCCUCCUCUUCAUGUAUAACUAUCUUCUCUCUGCACACCUGACUCGGUGCUACGGUCUCCUCAGGACAGUUCUGUUCAAGCUGUAUGUCUUCAGACCUUACGACUUCUCCUUCAUAGUCUGCCCAUCCGUCCUUGAUGAUUUGCCUCCUCUGGUUGCGGUUGCGUCGUCUUCUUCUUGUCCUGACCUGCUUAGAGUCUUCAACUAUAUAGUUAAGGUAAGUAAAAUAACGGCGUACCUUCUCAGAGGGGAAGUGCAUGUGGACUUCUCCGGUUCCAAUGUUGAUGAUUGCUUUAACGGUGCUGAGGAGCGGCCUCUCAAGGAUGAUGGGUGGAUCGUACUCGUCUUCUCCCAUGUCAAUAACCUUCAAUCUUUCAGAAUGUCUGAUCUGCCAUCUAGACCUGAAUGUAUGUUGGUUGUAGGGACAUGGUUCCAUGCAGGAGCUGAUAAGUGACUGCGGCCAUUAUAUUGACGUUAGAUCUGGUGUCGUAGAGUGUCUUCUGAAAAGAAUAUCCAUUGAUUGUGCACUCGAUGCUUGGGACACCAGGGUCGUUCUUCUUGAUCAAGAAAGGUGACUUGAGUUGACAAUCUUGACCUCCUUGAGCUGCAGUGACCAUCUUAGCUGACUCAGUCCACAAUUGCUUGUUCCUGUUCCUCCUGUUGGUCCUUUCCUUGGUUCAUGUCAGGAUUGCUCUGAGAUUUGUGCAGUUUUGUUCUUGAAGGAAAACGUCUCCUUCGUCCCCUUGAUGUAGAAACUGAUCUUGGCAGCACUAGCAUGGAUAACCGCUCCUGAGGUGUUCAGGAAUGACCUCCCUAGAAUGAUGGGUGCCCUCUCAUCAGUGUCAGUCUCUAUCGCCAUGAAGUCUACUGGGGCGUACAAGGUACCAACUCGUAUGCAGAGGUUCUUCAAUAUUCCUUUUGGGAAACUUAGUGUACGAUCUGCAAGCUACAAACCCAUGGUUGUUUCUGAUAAAGGAUGUGUAAAGAAUUUUUCAUAGAGUACCCGGAGCAUAAGGUUGACGCUGGAGCCAAAGUCGCAGAGUGCUUCUAGGAAGUCCACCAUGCCGAUGGAGAUCGGGAUGACGGGGCGUCCUGGGUUGUCUCUCUUGACCGGCAGAAGGUCAGUAAUUACUUCCACAACGGGGUUACUCCAGUAGUUACGUCCUCAAGCAUCUCAGGGCAGUGAUUGCCUGAGUGUCCAGUAUCUCUAGUGUGUUUGUGCUCGUAGAUCUAGGUUCUUCACUUGGUGGAGUCUGGGAGUUGUAAAAGUCCGUCAUAUUUUGCUCGAAGUGUACCUGCUCAUAGAGACAAGGCAGAGAUCAAGUGCAUGGGCCCUGUUGGUGGAAAUCACCAACAGAACCAAAGUGUAUUCGUUCUCUCUAACCUUAAGCAUAGUGAGCAAGACAAAGUUGAUAGAUAAUAAGAUCAUGAAUGUAGCAUUUAAAACAUUUGUCAGAUCAGAUCGCUCAACCUAAUGGAAAGAUAAUCUAUCUAUAUAUAUGUUUUGUUUAUAUCUUCCAAAGAUUGAGUGUGCAACAUUUUAGCUUAUAUGAUUAGGAGUAUGGGAUCACAAAGGUGGAAGGACUAAAUAUGUUGAAUCGAUUAGGUUGGUUAAUCUAGAGUUGUAAAUCUUACAUGUUUGUCUCUUUUACUCAUGUGAAUGCCAAAAAUAAGGAGAAGCUUAUAGAAGUGAUAGUCAAGUACCUUAAGAUGUUACCUUACUUGAAGAGUGAUGGUACAGUAUCACCUUGUGGAAGCUUUCCUUUCUUAGCGGUUGUGCAUCAUGUUUGUGGCACCCCCCAUCGAUCAUCUCUUGUGAGGUAUGCCUUCCUUGUGUAAAUUGUUAAACUUCAUGUGUGUCUCUCCUUGUCUCCAAUGUGAGUUUAUCUCAGGACUUCCCAGGUCGAUAUUUAAAGUUUUUCUGCAGGGGUUAGUCCAACAAAAUAUCCAAUAUCUACUAUAGCAUACUAUUGGUUCAAAAAUCAACCUAGACACCAUGUCUAAUUUGAUUUAGGAGGGCAUUUUAACCUAAGCACCAUGCUUAAUUUAAACUCCCUUGGAAGUAAGAUCAUCAUUCCUAAACUAAGCACCAUGCUUAAUUAAGAGAUAAAUGAAACUACUCCAAACCUAGACAUAUACUAAAGCAAAUAAAGGUGGUAUGAGAGCAUUUAUAGAGAUCUACUCAAGUGGAGAUGAAGUAGUGUGAUUAGUAUUUAACAAAUUGAGCAUGUCUCAAAGGUAGGGACAACCAACAUAGCAAUAUGGCAAAUGAUGUUUUUAUGUAAAGUACUCCCCCAAGCUUGAAUUUUUGCAGAAUUCAAGUUUGGAUGAAUUUAAUUCAAUGUUGUAUGAUGAUUGGUUGGACAUACCUUGUGCUUGUCAUUCAUCCGAUCUUCUUGCUCCAAUCCUGGAAAGGUUAGUGACAAGAAUACCCGAAGGAAUAUUUUUACAAUUAUCCUAAUAUGCUCAACACACAAGGUAAUGUUGCAAAUAAUUAAAAGCUCAUGUUAUGAUCUAAUUAGUGCUUGUUUUAGGACACUAAGCUUGUCCUUGGGAAACCAUCAAUUUAUGUCGGCGAAGUGGUUUCCCCUCCAACGCUGACCUAUAUCAAGAUCAACUCAACGAGAUCUGCAAUAUUUCUUAUAGACAUAUGCAUCGACAACCGUCCUUUUAAAGUUUUUAUAAAUAGAAAGGAUGAGGGGGUUGGAGAUCUCGAAUGUGGUGAUGUUGGAGAGACCAAUAGAUUGUGAAGAUGUUGCAUAUGAGCAUGGAGUAAAUGAAGUGGCUAUGAAAUAAAUUCCAUGCGAAUUAAUGCUUAGAGUGAAAUCCAUGUGGUGUGGUGAAAAUGGUAAGGUGAGUGUGGUAUAAAAGGAAAAGAAAAAGGAUACACGGACGACUUGGUUCGAAACUAGUACAGCUACCGUUCCCCGGCAACGGCGCCAGAAAGCUUGUUGGGUAUUUUAAACGCAAACAGAAAAAUCCGCAAGCGCACGGAUACCGAUGUAGCCUUCACCCGGGAGUAUUCCAGAGUAUCGAUUUUCCACAGGGAACGUGAGUGUACUAAUUAAGAUCCAAGAUCGCCCAAGGAUAAAUAUAUAAUUAUUUUUUGUGGGAAGAGAGGAAGUUUCCUGAGAGUUCUCUAGUUGAUCUAAGAAUCAAGAAUUACUUCAAGAUUAUCUAUAUCGGGACAUCAGAGCACUAACCAUAGAAAGAGAUGAGAAGGGGGCUACGAAGGUCUGACUACGGUCCUACAAACACCGAUCCGAACGUGGUGGAAUACGUCGACCGUUAGGGCUAUCACUACCCUAGGGCUACCACAACAAUCCGUAGGAUUGGGUGCAAUUCCAGGUAAUUGCAAGACUAAACACCACGUCUAAUCUAUUAAUUACUACUCUAGCGUUAUAAAGACUAGAGCACUUGAUGCAAGCGGGAAUCCAAUAAAUAACUUGAAUGUAAAUAAAAGUAAUUAGAGAACUCAGGAAUUAUGAAUUGAAGAACCUGGAGAACGAUGAAGAAUGAACCAGAUGCUGCAAAAGUAUAAUGUUGAGGAAGAUCCGACAGAUCCGGCUCCUCCUCCGCUCUCCUCUUCUCUCUCCCUAUUUUCUAGAUUACAACUAGAACUAACUAGAACUAGAACUAGAGGAACUAGAACUAGAACUAGAUGAACUAGAACUAGAUCUAGAUGAACUAGAGGUAGAACUAGAAGAACUAGAGGGAUCCUCUCUACUUGGAUGAAGAAUUGAAACCCUAACUUUGAUUCUGUAGAAGAGGUAUGAUCUCCAGGGGCCAAGGGGUUUGGUUUUAUAGUCCUUUCAAGUGAAUCUGGGCCGUCGGAUCAAACCGACAUUGAUCGUGUGGUUUUCCUUGAAGUAUUAGGUCGGUGGAGCAUGAUCCCCGAACUUCACCCUGAUUGGUCCAGGGGGGAGGGCGGGCGCCCUCAGGACUAGGGCGGGCGCCCUGUCCCUGAGGCCUCUCGGCUUCCGCUUCGGUCCCGUGGCUUCUGGAGUCUUCUAGAUGAUAGAAAAUUGCGCAGCACGUUAAUAUCUCUAUGUAAACCCGACGUGUGGGCCUUUCCUCCAUAUUUCCUGAUAACCCCCUGCAGAAAUAGACAAACACCAAAACUCGUGGAAUUCUGUCACAUAAAACCCUAAGUCUAGGUGUUGGUUGCAUUUGGAUCCUUUUCUAUGAUUAAUUGAUGGUUAAAUAUGUGCAUUAAGGACCGUCAACAAUUACAAACAAGGUUCUAGCACCAUUUGUGAAACAACUAAAGGUCUAGUUAUUCUAUCUAUGCAUGCUAGUUCUUCAUUUCAUUAAUCAAACUUACAACUAGCAUACACCACACAAGCAAGGCAAUGAAGAGAAAACUUCUAAAGCUAAUGCAAAUGCAAGCAGACAUAUGUGAUGCACAUUCAAAUGCAACAUACAAGUUUAUGAGCUUGCUCCCCCUACUUGUGUGCUUCAAAAUUUUGAUUGAUCUCCUUCUUUUAUCAUGUUAUUCCCCUAUCUUUGUACUUCUCCCCUUUUAGCAAAUUUUUGGGAAAUUCUCUCCCCCUUUGUCAUCAAAGACCACAAAAGUUGAGCUCAAAUUUUAGAUUGGUUAGUGUGAAACCAUGUAAAGUGAGAUCAUUUUCCCAAAUUGGUUCAAUCUAGAUUACUUGCCUAAGAUAUUUAACCUCUAUGAUACCUUGCUUGUGUGGUGUAUCCUAGUUGUAGGUUUCAUUGAUGAAAUAAAGAACUAGCAUGCAUGGGUAGUGUAACUAGACUUUUAGUUGUUUCACAAGUGGUACUUGAACAUCAUUUAAAUGUUGAUCGCAUGGGGUGUUCUAGUUUUGUGAAUGUCUAGUUACUAAUGGUGCUAAGGAUGGUGUAUAUUGGCAACUCCAAUUGGUAUCAUGCUUCAAAGGUCCAUUCUUUAUACCUUAGCAUCAUUUGGUAGAAAUUGACUCCUAUAUUUCCUAUUCUAGCAUAUGUGCAAGCUUUCAAAUCCAAACUCUUAGCACAUAUGUAACCUAAGCACCAUGCUUAAGUUAAAAAGCCUUAAAAAGUAUGUAUAUACAAUACUACCAAACUAAAACAUAUUAGCACAAAUGGAAAGAAAAAUGAAAGGCACAAAACUUUUGGCACAUUUUUAUUACUCAAGGUGACAAGAAAUUAAAAGCAUAGGCUAUGAUUAUGAACAGACACAAAGCAUGACUAAAAAUCUAAGCAUUGCCAUGUUAGCAAAACUUAAACAAGUUCAAUCAAUUAUUCAUAUGUUCACGCUCAUAAGAUUGAGGGUAAUAAAGAAACAUUAAGCACAUACCUUAGGAAUUUUACCUUUGUCACGUGAAGCUUGAGGAUGACCUUGGAUGGAUCAUGAUCGAUUUAAAGCUUCUUAUUCUCACUAUUGAAUUGCACAUUUGCAUCUUGUCUUUUUUUGAAUUCCUUCUUCUUGAUGUCACCCAUGACUUGCUUGCUCAGUCUUGAGUCAUAAUUUUGAAAUCUACUACAAACACUAGUGCAAGGUGAUACUACAAACCUGAUCGGUGUGCAAGCACAUUGGCCUGUGCAACAAUCUAGCUCAAUUUAGGUUGGCACCAUUUUAUUCAAAAGGGAAAACACUACUAAUACUAUGAUAGGCACUAAACUACUAUUACGAUGGACACUAAAUGAACUAAGAAAGGAAAUAAAUGGGUUAUGUCCUAGUAGUGCUUUGUUUUAAGUUAUAAGCUCGACCCUUGCAGUUGGACUGCAAAAACUUGUGCCUAGGCAAUUACGAGCUUUGGAAUGCUUAUGGUAAACAAAAGCAUCAUUAACCAUCCUUUCAAAGGGUUAAUGAAGGAGAGACAUAGGAUGGUUGCGACUCUCGUAAAUGCUAGUAAAAGUAGGAAAGAAAGAUUCUAGCAAUUUCUCAUAAAAUUGUGGAUCAGGUGGCUCUUCGAAAAUAUAACUUAUAUGCUCGUCCACCUGAUUCUCCUUACUGAACUCCAAAAAUGAUUCCUCAAGAAUGUCAAUAAACCAAACGUCUUCAUACAUCAUCUCCUAUCUAUGAUACUCUAGGAAUGGAUUUUCAUCCUCAUCCUCCAUUAAGAUGGGGAUCCAUUUCAACGGCGACUCUCCUUCCAUUUUGACAUCAACCAGAGGAUUUGGAUUGUAUCCUUGGUUUGAAUGGUCAAAUAGAUAAGGAGGGUCAUAUGGAGGAUCAAGACCUAUGGUGGUGGAUGAUAUUGAUUUGAGGGACUCUUGGACACCCAAAUCAUAUGAUGGAUAGUGAAGAUAAUGAUUUGGAGUCAAGGAUGCUAGAGAUCCUUGUUGGAUUGGAUGAUUUAAGGUGUUUUCAUCAUUAGAUGAGAUAUCCUCCUCAAAUUCUAUAGGAAAUUCCAAAGGACCACUGUUGACGGUGUUAAGUACCAAAUUUAAUUAUCAAAUAAACAAAUAAAAGGAUCCAAAUGCAACCAACACCCAGACUUAGGGUUUUAUCUGACAGAAUUCCACAAGUUUUGGUCUUUGUCUAUUUUUGCAGGGGGUCAUCAGGAAAUAUGGAGGAAAGGACCACAUGUCGGGUUUACAUAGAGAUAUUAACGUGCCGCGCAAUUUUCUAUCAUCUAGAAGACUCCAGAAGCCACGGGAACGAACGCGAAGCCGAGCGGGCCCGGGGGCAGGGCGCCCACCCUCCCCCCUAGGGCGCUAGCCCAAUCAUGUGGACCAAUCAGGCUCCGCCUCGCGGAUCAUGCUCCACCAACCUAAGGGAUUAACGAAAACCGUGCGAUUAAGGUCGGUUUGAUCCGAUAGCCCACAUUCAUUUGGAGAGGCUAUAUAAGCAGGCCCCCUGGCCCCUGGAGGAGGCACCCCCUUGAUCCCUAUUCAUUAUUCAUAAACAAAGCAAAAGCUAGGGUUUGGAGAUGAGAGCUCUCCUCUCAUCUCUAAACUAGAGUAGAUCUAGAUAGUAGCGAGAUGGAGAGCGAGGGAGGAUUGGAGGAGAGGCCGGCCUAACGGUUCUUCCUCUGGUUGUACUUCGCCAUGAUCAAGCUCUAAUCAAGAUUGCUCAUGGGAUGACUUUGGUAAUCUACUUCUAUUUCAUUAUGCAAUUACUAUCCAUGUAUGUUCUAGUUCACAACUCUUUUGAGUACUUUAAUCUAUAGGACGCUAUAGGUGAGAGUUGUAGUAUAGGUGUAAGCAUGGUGCUUAGACCUAGAUUACUUGUGGAUAUCCCCUGUCUAGCUGGAUCGUGUGGUAGGCCGCGUGGGUGACAGCUACGUUGGUUCUCUGUAGUCCACCUCCCGUUAGCAGGACUGGUAGGGUUUAUCGGCCUAUGGAUAAGCAUCCUUUGUGGUGUAAUCUUAUCACGUGGUUCGUCCCAGACAUAGACAUACCCCUUUGAAGUAGAGAAACCAUAGUUAUCCUCUCUAUUCUCCUACCAUCGCCCAUAUCCUAGAUUGCUCUACUCUUUAUUCCCAUAUUAUCACCCAUUGUUAUCUUACCUUUAAUAUUGCUCUUAUUCAAUUCUACCAUCUUUCCUAUUUACACCUACCUAUCUAUCUAGGUUAAGUUAGAGCAUAGAUCAGUUCUCCCGUUUCCCUAUGGAUACGAUAAAACCUUUAACCGGGUAAAAGCUACAACAGUAUCCGUGCACUUGUAGAUUUAUCUGUGUGCGUAUAAAUAACAUAGUACACUCUAGUGCCAUGCUGGGGAUGACAACCUAGUAUUCAAGUGGUGUUACAAAGUGUCAACAAGCUAUUUGGCGCCGUUGCCGGGGAAACGGUUGCUGAGUUGACUACGAAAUAGCUUAAUCAUUUUUCUAAAAAUAAAAAAAAUAAUAAUAUAUUUUUCUUAUCUAAUCCUUGAUCUCUGGUCUAUCAUGAAUGCAAACAUGUCUAUCUAUCAGUUUCAUAGACCUACGGGCACACACCUCGAACCACCAAAAUCUUCAAAGCCUAUCAUGACAUCUAGUUUUGAGAUAAGCCCGGAAUACAUAGAAUUUCUUCAAAAACAUCCUUUCUCAGGAGAAGGUGAGGAAAACCCAAACACACACCUAAGAGAGUUUUAUCGAGUCUGUGACCUCCUUCGCAUUGAAGGCAUGUCUGAUGAGACCCUUAAUGGAAGCUCUUUCCGUUCUCUUUAACGGGAAAAGCUAGAUAUUGGUACAAACUCAACAUAGGAAGUGCUCAUAGAGAUUGGAAAGAGCUAUACAAUAGUUUUCUCUCUAAAUAUUUUCCAAUCUCCAAAGUGGCGGAUCUUCGGCUCGAGAUUCUUUCUUUUAGACAAUUAGAAGAAGAAUCUCUUGGUGAAUCAUGGGACCGCUUUAUUGACCUUACUCUCACUUGCCCAAAGCUUUAUAUUCCAGAAGAAGUUCUUCUAAUUCACUUUUUAAGGGCCUUAGUAGGGAAAAUAAGCAAACCUUUCAUGCGGCCUCUGGAGGAUCUUUCCACCACCUGUCAGCUAGUGAAGCUUGGAAUUUGAUUGAUUUAAUGAGCGGAAAGUCUCCUAGCAUUUAUAUCCCUGAGAAAGAGAAAGAAUCAGUUCCUAGACAAGAAGUGGAAGUUUUGAUAGUGAAAUUACAACCACUUCAAUCCCAAACUUUAGCUAUCAAUUCUAAACCAUCAAUACCCCAAAAUUCUCCAAGGGAGGAAGGAAUUCCGACCUGAAAUCUUUCAGAUGCUGAUGGUUUAGACUUCUAUUUCCAUAAGAGACCUUCAAGCAGGGAUAAUUCAAAUCCUUACAAUAAUAGUUCUCUUAGAGAAUGUCCUGGUUCCUGUUAUGAAGAAGUCGAGGAUGACAUAUCAAGUGAAGGAGAGCUAAACCAUAUAGAAAAUUCUAUCUGAUCCCCUUCCAUGUUCACAAAUUAUAAAUCCAUCCUUGACCUUAGAGACCCCUCUUACCCCUCUCCUUUUUAGUCUCAUGAUGAUCCUAGCAAUCCAUCAAAAUGAUCAUACCAUAGGAGUCAUAAAGACCAUGAGGAUGACAUGUUAAGUAAUGCCAUAGAAGGAGAGCUAAGCCAUAUAGAAGAUUCUAUCAGCUCCAUUGUCUUGAUCACAAAUUCGAAAUGGCUGGAAUGUGUAGAAUGGAAGGACAAGAUAGAAGCCUUAACGGAUUCUGACCUUGGCUCAAUUUCAGAUGUUGAGUCUUUAACUCCCCUCGAAUAUGAGAUUCACCCUUCUAUAGAAGAGGACAUAGACGGGACCAAUCCAAGAGAAACUCUGAACAUUUAGAUUAGAGACGAAGAUAACAUCAAUGAGCAUGGAAUUUAUUUCAUAGCCACUUAGUUUACUCCAUGCACAUAUGAAACAUCUUCCCAAUAUAUUGGUCUCUCCAACAUCACCACAUUUGAGAUCUCCAACCCCCUCUUCCUUUUUAUUUAUAAAAACUUUAAAAUGGCGGUUGUCAAUGCAUAUGUCUAUAACAAAUAUUGCAGAUCUCGUUGAGCUAAUCUUGAUAUACAAAGGUUGGCGUCUAUAACAGAACCGCCCAAAUUAUAAGAGAUUAAGCCAAGGGUGACCAUUUGCACAGUCGAACCAUCGAGCUUAAGCCCAGAUAAUCCCGGUAGUCCGUGAAAUCUCGAGGGAUUUCAAACCACAAAUCAUACAUACAGCCAAGAUCGUAAUAAGUUCAGCGGUCACCAUUCACAAUUACAUCCAGUUCGCAUCAUUCAUCACAUUCAUCAGAGUUACUUAAAGUUGUUACAAACCAAGUUCUCAAGUAGCGAAAGCUUCAUAGUCACACACACAUUUAGUCUGAUACAGUGCCAUAGUUGAUCAUUCCCACAAAAGCAAAAGAGGAGGUAGAGUGACCAUCGCUCUUGGCCUAGUCAUCACCUAUUGCUGGGUACAAGCAGAGAAUGCAAUAACCAUAGUACAUCUGCCCAUCUGCAAAUCAACAUGGGAAUAGAACCCUGAGUACGAGAAUGUACUCAGCUAGACUUACCCGUCAUAAACCAAAAAUAAAGACUCUUCAAGGAUCAUGAAGGCUGUAUAGUGGGGUAGCUGAGACUUUUUGCGUAAAAGCACUACUCAACUAGAAGUACAUCCUAACAGUACUCCCUCUUCUUUUAGUUAGCUCAGGUUAGGUACUAUUACGUAUCAUCUAGAUUUGCACCUGUACUAUUCCAAACAAGUGUGGCGAUAUGAUGGUACCUCAUCAUAGCAUUCAUAAAUCAUUUAUCAUCAUAACCCAAGUGUUCCAUAGUCCUUACUACGAGGACAGGGCUCAUGUCAAGUGCUCACUAUCCAGGAGCGAUGGCGAUUCGAAUCGAUUUCUGACCAGCUGGGGAGUUUAUUCCCCACACAAACCACACUCACUGAUCAAGUGAGCUACAAAUCACCGUAUUGCACUAUCCAGGACCAAUUUGCGGGUUCGACAGGCACCGCCCGUACCAGAGGACCGUUCCGGCGACCGAGGUAUCCAAGGUGUACCAAGGUUGCGCGCCGCGCCCUCAUCGUUCUCCUCAACCAUCACCAAUACAGCGUGUACAUCGGGCCGAUUCCCGGCCCGGAUAGUGCUCAGGCUUCGCGAUCGGAACGACUUACCCUUCCAGCUAAGUGUGAGGCAUGCGUUCAACAUGAUAAGAGGGCCGUCAACAAUCGGUCCUUAACCGACACAAGCAGGGGCACUACGAUCAACCCCACCACAAGACCCUGCCCAGUCUCAAGUUCAAUCCCACACUUGGUUGCUUCCCUCUUAGCAUUGACAGCUAAUCAAACAGGUGUCCACCCAUAUCUUGCAGGUGACAGGAAAUCACCGGACUUCUACUGUACUAAGCAAGCUAAGCAUAGACUCCGAGCCUGUCUACAUAGGACAAGGUAGAUAAAUAAGGUGUGAUAUCAAGGAGUAAGUAUGCAUGAACGGUAUCAAGUAAUUCCUAUCACUUAAAUGCAACAUAGUAAAACCAGCAUAAUAUACUAAUUAAGUUAGCGAGAAUAGGGAGACUUAGAAUGCUCUGGGGCUUGCCUUUCUCAAACGUGCUCGGCUUGUGGUCCGGGCACUCUUGCAGCUCUUCUCCUGGCUCUGGUCCUCCUUGAAGUUCCAGCUCUAGGGUUUCCACCUGCUCCUCGGGUCCCACUUCGUUUUCCUGCGAGCCUGUAUGAUGCAUGUGCGCUUAUGAGUGUAGUGCAAGAUGCCCGGGGUGCAAUGCUUAUGCAAGUGGGUAUCAGAAGACCAUGACAUGGAGCAUAGAUGACAUAGGUGGUUAUUUCUACAAGGUAGUCAACGUCAUCCAAGAACAUGUACUCAGAUUAAGCAUCUAUUGCAUUCUCUUCUACAAGUUGCCUUUAUGGUUAACCAGCAAGAUAACAUGAUGCUUCAAAGAUACACCAAACACCCUUUUAUUCCAUUUAAUUUAUGCAUAACCAUUCAUAAUUUAUUUUAAUUAUUAUUGGACCUACAAUCGUAGCAUAUGUUUCUUUUUAUCAAUAAAUUCCACAAAAAAUACAGUAGAUCACUGGUCAAUCAUAAAGUCUACCAUAAUUUUUUCAUAAUAUUUGGACACUUAUUUUGGGCUACAUAAAUUACAAGAUUAUUCAAUAUAAUUAAGUACAAAUACCCUACUAUUGACCAAGUGUCAAACAACAGAUUUCAUAUUUUUAUAAAUUACUUGUUAACAUAAGAAACACCCACAAAAAUUUCCAGAUUAAUUGCAUGAUCCAGUUAUUUAUUAAAAAUCAUAAACCACUGCAAUGCAAGCAUUUAAAUCAUCAUAAAUUAAUUUAUACAGAAAAUAAUAUGUGACAUAUUUUUCCUAGAGACUAAUCAUCCAUGCAAAGCUAACAAAACAAGUUUCACCUUUUUCUGAGUUAUAUUUUAAUUACUAUGCAUUUUCUACUUAUCAACAAAACAUGGAUUAAAUACAUUUGCAUAGAAAAGUUGUUCAAACAUGACAUGAAACCAUGCCAAACUACAGAUAUGGAAUUAUAGAACACACCAAAAUUUAUUUCAUCAUUUUUGGAGCCAUGGAUCUCAAGAUAUAGAUUUAGUACCAUUUAAAUCAUUUUCUGGAAAACCUUUUAUGAAAAACCAUUUCAAAUCCACAACAAAAAACGCUAGGAACAUCCGGAUCUCUACCUGCCUCGGUCCCCCUGCGGCUGACAGUGGGUCCCCGACCCCACUGGUCAGCGUGAUCGAGAGGGAGAGUACCUCCGACGAGCGGAUCUCGUCGGCGGUGAGGUCUCCGGCCACGGGGUGAGCACCAACAUGCUCCCCGCAGCGAGGCACACCUAAUGGUGCCCUUGGUUUGGCUGGAGGACGACCAGAGCACCCCUGCUGGCGUGCAUGGCGGCACGGCGGCGCUGCUCGCCGUGGCCGGGCCACUCCGGCGGAGUAGAACGCGCGCGGGGUACCGUCUAAGCUUCCUCGUCACGCUCUGAACCUAACGCGCUCAAGAACAAGCCAAACGGGGCAGAAACGGGAAGGUUUCGACGCGGCGAAGCACUUUGACAAGGUCGGGUGAACUCCGGCGAGAGAUUGCGGUCUCACGGAGGGUUUUCACCUCGGUAGAGCGCGCGCAGGGGCUUACCGCGGCGAAGGCGAACACGACGGUGGUCUUGGCGCAGAGAACAGACCACUAACGCGGCUUGCGGCGAGCGGCGGAGCUUCGGCCGGCAAUAGCGCCGCGGCGGUUGCUGUUGCUGCGGCUGCGCUCGCGAGCGGAGAAGGAGAGGGAGCGGGGGGGACAGAAUGGCGUCUGGGGGCACGGGCUGCCGUCCCGACCGGGGUAAGCCGGUCGGCCGAGCGGGCGUCCACGACGCCGGCGUACGGCCGCCACGUGGCCGGCGCCGGGUGGAGCGAGGCGAGUGUCCGCGCGCGGGAGAGGGGAGGGGAGGCCGGGCCGCGCGGCUUGGAUGGGCCGAAAGGGAGGCGGGUCGGCCUAGCAGCGCCUGCCCCCUUUCCUCUUUUUUCUUGAAUUUUUUUUCUCCAAUACUUUUCCAAACUCAUUUUGACAAAUUUAAGUCCUUUUUCAGCUCUAGCCCCCAAAACAAAAGUUGCUCUAAAUAAAAAGUUCUACAACUUUGUUUUAAGCUAUAAUUCCAAAUUCCCAAUAGAAUUUGAAAAACCACUCAAAACUUGUUCUAGGUUUAAAUAAAUUCAUUUUGGGGCUUUUUGUAUAAAAUCCAUUUCUCAAAUUCUAUAGCUCCAAAAAUUUCACAAAAUUAUUCUUAAUUCUUCUAAAACAUAUUUCAAUCUAUUUUUGUCAUUUCAAGAAAUUUGGAAGCAAGCAUACUAUUUUUAUCAUAUUUAAAUCACAUAAAUUAAGCACAUAAAAUCACACUUGAAUUACUACUAUGCUCAUGUGAUGUUAUGCGUAUGCCAUGCUUGAUGAAAAUGCUUAUGGUAGAGUGUAUGAGACUAAGUGCAUGCUUAACACCUAGGGUGUUAUAGCCCUUCCCCCCUUAGAGUUGUUACUAACCAUUUCUUAUGAAAUCUUGGGUAAACUGUUUUUAGGUAAUCCUCGGUUUCCCAGGUGGCAUUCCAAUCAUCGUGAUGACUCCACACCACAUUAUAUGUUUUGACAACUCUGUUCUAGGUUACCCGCUCCUUGGUAUCUACGAUACCCACUGGUUGCUCCUUAUAUUCCAAAUCUGCCUUUAUCUUGAUUCCUCGAGGUUCGAUCCUUUGCUCAGGCACUUUCAAACAUUUUCGCAGCUGUGACACAUGGAAAACUAGAAAGAUUGAGCUCAACUCCUCAGGUAACUCAAUCUUGUAGGCCACAGGGCCCUUUCGUUCUAGUAUCUGGUACGGCUCCACAUAUCUAGGUGCAAGUUUGCUUCUAACUCGGAAACGCUGAACCUUCUUCAUCGGCGUAACCUUGAGGUAAGCAUAGUCACCCACAUUAAACUCGAGUGGCCUUCUUCUCUUAUCGGCCUAACUCUUUUGCCAUGAUUGUGCCGCUCUCAUAUGUUGUUGUAUGAUUUGCACCUUCUUGUCAGCCUCGUUCAUGAAGUCGAUACCAUAGUAUCUCCUUUCACCGGGUUCGACCCAGUUUAACGGAGUUCUGCACUUUCGACCAUACAGCCUCGAUCGGAGCCAUCUUGAAACUCUCUUGAUAGCUAUUGUUGUACGAGAAUUGAGCCAAAGGUAACCAUGAUUCCGAUGAUCCCCUAGAUGAUAACACACAAGCUCGUAGCAUAUCUUCGAGCACUUGAUUGAGUCUUUCCGUUUGACCCAAGGUUUGAGGAUGAUACGCUGUGCUUCUUAUCAGACUAGUCCCCAAACUCUUAUGCAUUCGCUCCCAAAAAUGAGCGGUGAACUGCAGUCCUCUAUCUGAUAUGAUGGUCUUGGGAAUACCAUGCAACUUGACAAUCUCAGCUAGAUACAAAUCAGCAUACUCGGGAGGUCUGUAACGAGUCUUAACAGGAAUGAAAUGAGCCGACUUGGUCAAUGGAUCUAUGAUUACCCAAAUCGAGUCAUUCCCCUUUUGUGUAGUCAGCAGACUGGUGAUGAAGUCCAUACUGACCUCUUCCCACUUCCACUCUGGAACCGAUAACGGUUGCAACAGCCCUGCAGGUUUCAUGUGUAUAGCUUUGACUCUGCAACACGUGUCACAACGGGCCACGUAUGCUGCUAUCUCUUUCUUCAUUUUGGUCCACCAAAAGUGAGACCUUAGGUCUUGAUACAUCUUACUACUGUCAGGAUAGACAGAAAGCUUUGAGAGAUGUGCUUCAUCCAUGAUGUGAUUCUUUAGUUUUCGAUUUUUCGGAACUACCAACCGGUGCUGAAACCACAGCACACCUUUCUCAUCAACUCGGAAUUGAGUCUUUGGGUCGUUUUUAAUCUUCUCUUUGAUGUGAGAAAUACCCUUAUCUGUUUCCUAACCUUUGAUGUCUUGACUUUCUAGCAAACAACUGAGCUGUAUGUGACAUAACACUUCAGGAUGCAUGAGAUUGAAACCAUAUUCGAACAAGGGUUGAACCACUUGAUAGUGUGGUUUGCGACUCAACGCGUCUGCUACCACAUUAGCCUUGCCUGGAUGAUAGUGUACCUCCAGAUUGUAAUCCUUGAUCAGCUCUAACCAUCUUUGCUGCCUCAUAUUCAGCUCGGACUGAGUGAAGAUGUACUUUAGAUUUUUAUGAUCUGUGUAGAUAUGACACUUGUUUCCCAGCAAAUAGUUCCUCUAGAUUUUCAGAGCGUGUACUACCACUGCUAGCUCGAGGUCAUGAGUCGGAUAGUUGAUUUCGUGCUUUCUUAACUGUCGUGAAGCGUAAGCUAUAACUUUUCCUUCUUGCGUCAGCACACAUCCUAAACCACUUUUCGAUGCGUCGUAGAACACAUCAAAAGGCUUCUCGAUAUUUGGCUGUGCCAGAACAGGAGCGGUGGUCAGCAACUUUCGCAAGGUGCGGAAGGAUACUUCACACCCUUCUGUCCAAACAAACUUAUGAUCCUUUUGUAGCAAACUGGUCAUUGGCUUAGCAAUCUUGGAGAAGUUGGGUAUGAAGCAACGAUAAUAUCCAGCUAGACCAAGAAAGCUUCGAACUUCCGAGAUAGAAGUUGGUGCCUUCUAGUCCAUGACUUCCUGUACCUUUGACGGAUCCACAGCAAUCCCCUCUUCUGACAGAAUGUGCCCGAGAAAAGGAACUUUCUUUAGCCAGAACUCGCACUUGCUAAACUUUGCAUACAACUGAUGUUCUCGCAGUCGUGUUAGCACGACUCUUAGAUGCUCGACAUGAUCUUGAUCAUUCUCUGAAUAGACCAGAAUGUCAUCGAUGAACACCACAACAAACUUGUCUAAUUCUAGCAUAAAGACUGAGUUCAUCAGAUACAUAAAGUAUGCAGGAGCAUUUGUCAACCCAAAGGACAUGACAAGAUACUCAUACAACCCAUAUCUGGUGGAGAAGCAGUCUUCGGUAUAUAUUGCGGACGGAUCAUGAUUUGAUGAUACCCGGACCUCGAAUCUAUCUUAGAGAACACUUUUGCCUUCGACAACUGAUCAAACAAGAUAUCAAUCCUUAGCAACAGAUACUUAUUCUUGAUUGUUACCGCAUUGAGUGGACGAUAGUCCACGCACAUGCGCAACGAUUGAUCCUUCUUUCUCACGAAAAACGCCGGACAACCACAUUCCGACGAACUUGGCCGGAUGAAACCUUUAUCCAGCAACUCCUUUAGUUGAUUCUUCAAUUCAGCGAGCACAUUAGGUGGCAUCUAGUACGGCCUUCUAGAGAUCGGUGUUGUACCUGGUAUCAACUCUAUUGCAAACUCUACUUUCCUAUCUGAGGGAAGUUCUGGCAAUUCCUCAGGAAAAACAUCAGGAAACUCACAGACUACUGGUAUGUGUUCUAGUGGAACCACCUGUACUGCACAUGAAAGACUGGCGAAGUCGAAGCGUCGGGGUAGCCUGACCUGAAGCAUGCCCUCCCCCAGAGGAUCUUUAAGGGAGAGAGUUCUAUGUCCCACAUCUAUAACUGCACCCCAGUCAGUCAUCUUAUUCAUUCCAAUGAUAACAUCCAAAACUAGCCCUGGCAUGAUCACAAGGUUUACACGAAACCUUCGGCCACUGAUAUCCAAAGUAAGCCCUCUUACUGCUUUGUUAGUCAACACAUCAGCCCCUGCUGAACUAAUACGAUAACCAUAACCCAACUCGGUAACUGGUUGGUCAUGCUUUUGUGAAAAUGCUUGGCUCAUGAAUGAAUGCGAUGAUCCAGAAUCAAACAAAACAACUGCAAGAUGUUGGUUGACAGGAAACAUACCAGCUAUGACCAGAUCUCCUUCCAGGAUCUUAUCUAUCGAGGUGUGGUACACAGAGGCCGGGUAGGUCCUCUGCUGCUUCUUGGGGUAGGGACAUUCCUUAGCAAAGUGCCCCAUCUUGUGGCAGUUAUAGCAUGGUCCCUUAGUCAUGUUGUUGGCAGCAGGUGCCACAGCUUGAAUUGCCUUUGGCAUGGCGGGAGCUAUUGCUACCUUGCACGGCUUCUGCUGCGUUGGAUGCCUUGUGUUCCAUCUCUCAGGCGGUCAGAACCUAGCACCUGGGAUAGGAGGAUGAUACUGCUGAUGCCCUGCCACUGGUGCCCGGGACUAAGACGACCCGGCUUCAAAAGCCCUCUUGCGUGACUUGGAUGCACUAUAGUUGUUGUUAUUGUUCUCCUGGGUCAAACAGUCACUGAUGUAGGCAUUGAAGGUAGCCCGGGUUCCUAUACCCAUGGUCUUUAGCAUCUUUGGGCUCAAGCCUCUCUAGAAACUAGCGAUCUCUUUGGCCUCUGUGUUCACAAACUCGAGAGCGUAAUGAGCGAGAUUGUUGAAAGCGUGCAGAUACUCCUUCACAGACUUCGUUCCCUGGGACAGCCUCAUGAACUCUCCAACCUUCAUUUCCACCACGCCCGGAGGGAUAUAAUUCCCCCGAAAAGCGGUGGUGAAGCGGUUCCAGGUGAUCGGGGUCCCCUCUGGUAGGUGGUACGAUGAUGGGACCACCAUAUCCCAGCAGGCCCCUGCAACUGAUGUGCUGCAUACUCGGCCUUGAGCUCUUCGGUCAUCCGAAGGAGACGGAACUUUUGCUCCAUGCUGUUAAUCCACUCAUCUGCCUCAAGCGGUUCCAAAGCCUCCUUGAAGACUGGUGGUUUAGUAUCCAUGAAGUCCAUGAAAGAGCUGUACUGAAUGACUUCACGACCGCCUUGGUUAUCCCCACGGCUGGUGUUGUCAGCGAUAUUGUGCAGGGCUUCUUCCAUGUUGCGCUGCAUCAGCUCCAUAUUGCGUUGGCUCCCCAGAAACUACGCGAAAAACACGUCUGUAGUGUAUAGAGGAGGGGGUGGUGGUGGCGGUUAUGGUGCUCUCUCGUCAUUCCUUUGAGCCCACCUACGGAAGAACCUGCUCCAAGACCAAGGUUGCUAUUACCGCCGCCAUGCGUUUGCACCAUCUGCAUGCCUCAAUGAUAAGCCGUCGUUAGGAGUUGUUAUCAACGGUAGACGUAUGUAGAAUUAUGUCGUACUAAAUUUACUGAGGAAAAUAAAUUCGCACAAUAAACAGAGGCACAAGAAUUCAUCAUCCACACACACAACAUCACUAACAGAUUACUAACAUUCGAGCAACAAGGUCCGCAUACGUCCAAAAUUGCCAGCAUACAUACACUGGACUUUCAGCGUUUAACACAACUCAACACGUAGAGUCUUACACAACAACGAUCCAACCGAUUACAAGACAUGCCAUGCAUCAACAACAGCAAAAGAAGAAGGACUAGCUCUAGAGCCCUAGCAUCUACUCGCUAUGGUCACUGUCCAUGCCGGAGCCCUCCUCGUCCUCAUCUCCACUAGCGGCUGCCUCCAUCUCUGGAUCCUCAUCCAUCUCAUCCUCAGAAUCUAACUCAGCUACUCCGGGCAGGUGGUGAGGGUGGAGCUGGUUAUGCAGCUGGUGGAUCUCCUCAUGCAAGUUCUCAUUGUACUCCUCAGCAUUAGUUAGCUGCUGCUCAAGCUCUAGCUGUCGGGCCCUCAGGGUGUCCUCCUCGUGCCAGGCUUCAUUCCUCUAACCAAGCACAUGAACGAGCAUGCGCUCGCAGUUCCUAUGAGCGGUGGUCACCCUGUCCCUCUACUCCCUCACUGCGAGCAGGUCCUGACUCAACUCACUGUUCUUCUGGACUGCCUGAUCCCUCUCUAGAGUCAUGGGGGCCAACUCUGCCUGCAUCCUCUCAACCUCACUAUCAAACUCGCGCUGCUACUGGCGCUUCUCAUCCUGAACUGUGAGAAGGGACCCAGACAAGUGCCCCAAACAACGCUCUAGACCCCCAUAGGUCUUCAUCAGGGCGAACAUAGCACUCAUAGCUAGGCUGUCACUAUGCUGAUCCUCACCCGCACUCCUCUCUAGAGCAUUCACCUCGGACUGAUCCCACACCAAAGUGUAGGGGUCACCCCUAGGAAACACCCCAGCGAAGGCGUGGGCCAGCUCCUGUGGAAACCUCUCCAUGAUGUCCCUCAGAACUGCAAAAGCAGCCCUACUGGCACCGUGGAAAGGCGUGGUACCAUGAGACUUGUACACCUAGACACCCCAGGCUCCUCUGGUAGGGACCACUGCCUCGAUCCCCACCAGGGUCCCGUCACCAAGCUACUCCUUGUUCCAAUAGUAGCGAGGUUCCCUUCCUUCGGGAUACCCCCAUCGAACUGAGCACCCUCCAAAGCAAGGUGGGCAUCCCAAACUCCUCUAGGAACUUGCUCUUAUGACACGAGCUCCUAGCUGCCAACUGAUGGCGAGGGGCCCACCCACGAGUCGACUUGCGCGAAGUGAGCCUAGUGCGUGCCAUCUGCUGCAAAUAGAAUACCUUGGAAAGACUGAGGAUAAUCUUUUAUUAUCUUAAUUGAAAUUGGGACAGAUUCAAUUAAGGGGAGGAAGUAAACAAUGAUAUGGAAUGAACAUGAUGCAUGCACGAACUUAUGAUCUCACAAACUUAGAAAAGAAAGUCAAUACUAAUCGGUAUAUGCGGUGGCACAUAAAGUUCUCUCAUAACGUAACUAGCGUUCUAGGCGGGAACGUGGUUAGUGUACCUGCAAAAAACUCAUUUCAGCCCAACCCCAGUAUGAACAUGCAGAACAAGAAUUUAGAGCUACACACCCCACACACAUAGACACCACAUCCAUGCAUAUGGCGUGGUACUACCUACAUCAUGGCCCUAGUGACGGCAUCGCCUCUCAGGACGGAAUUUCCCAACAUGCGGUACUUUUCCUAGGCACACCAACAUGUGCGCAUGACACAGCCCCUAAAAUCACUUCCCUAGAUCGGCAGUGUAUACGAUCAUGCUCUCACAGCUCCCCCUUACCGAGGCUUAGAGGAAAAAUUGAUCCACACAUUACCACUCAAAUGAAUGGCACUCAUACUAUUGCAUGGCGUAUGAGCGACGAAAUAGAAAUAUGAUGCAUAACCCCCAAGUUAGUACUGAACUAGCCACCUUAGAGUCCAUAACCGGGCAUAAAGGGUAUGACCAUGGCACACUGUGUAAUUUUCCAAAAACUCAUUUGAACACCUUGAUUCUCAUUAAUUUCAUAGUUAACUUUCAUUAACCGGUUUAAGUUUAAUUUAGAACGUACUUAUGAACAGUAACUCACUAAACCUUGCUCCGAUACCAGCUGUAACAGAACCGCCCAAAUUAUAAGAGAUUAAGCCUAAUGGUGACCAUUUGCAUAGUCGAACCAUCGAGCUUAAGCCCAUAUAAUCCCGGUAGUCCGUGAAAUCUCGAGGGAUUUCAAACCACAAAUCGUACAUACAGCCAAGAUCGUAAUAAGUUCAGCGGUCACCAUUCACAAUUACAUCCAGUUCGCAUCAUUCAUGAUAUACAUCGGAGUUACUUAAAGUUAUUAAAAACCAAGUUCUCCAGUAGCGAAAGCUUCAUAGUUUGAAAGUAACACACACACACACAUUUAGUCUGAUACAGUGCCAUAGUUGAUCAUUCCCACAAAAGCAAAAGAGGAGGUAGAGUGACCAUCGCCCUUGGCCUAGUCAUUACCUAUUGCUGGGUACAAGCAGAGAAUGCAAUAACCAUAGUACAUAUGCCCAUCUGCAAAGCAACAUGGGAAUAGAACCCUGAGUACGAGAAUGUACUCAGCUAGACUUACCCGUUAUAAACCAAAAAUAAAGACUCUUCAAGGAUCAUGAAGGCUGUAUAGUGGGCUAGCUGAGACUUUUUGCAUAAAAGUACUACUCAACUAGAAGUACAUCCUAACAGUACUCCCUCUUCUUUUAAUUAGCUCAGGUUAGGUAUUAUUACCUAUCAUCUAGAUUUGCACCUGUACUAUUCCAAACAAGUGUGGUGAUAUGAUGGUACCUCAUCAUACCAUUCAUAAAUCAUUUAUCAUCAUACCCAAGUGUUCCAUAGUCCUUACUACGAGGACAAGGCUCAUGUCAAGUGCUCACUAUCCAGGAGCGAUGGCGAUUCGAAUCGAUUUCUGACCACCUGGCGAGUUUAUUCCCCACACAAACCACACUCACUGAUCAAGUGAGCUAUAGAUCACCGUAUUGCACUAUCCAGGACCAAUUCGCGGAUUCGACCGGCACCGCCCGUACCCGAGGACCGUUCCGACGAUCGAGGUAUCCAUGGUAUAACAAGGUUGCACGCCGCGCCCUCGUCGUUCUCCUCAACCAUCAACAAUACGACGCGUACAUCGGGCCGAUUCUCGGCCCGGAUAGUGCUCAGGCUUCGCGGUCGGAACGACUUAUCCUUCCAGCUAAGUGUGGGGCAUGCGUUCAACAUGACAAGAGGGCCGUCAACGAUCGGUCCUUAACCGACACAAGCAGGGGCACUACAGUCAACCCCACCAUAUGACCCUGCCCGGUCUCAAGUUCAAUCCCACACUUGGUUACUUCCCUCUUAGCAUUGACAGCUAAUCAAAUAGGUGUUCACCUAUAUCUCGCAGGUGACAGGAAAUCACCCGACUUCUACCGUACUAAGGAAGCUAAGCAUAGACUCCGAGCCUAUCUACAUAGGACAAGGUAGAUAAACAAGGGGUGAUAUCAAGGAGUAAGUAUGCAUCAAUGGUAUCAAGCAAUUCCUAUCACUUAAAUGGAACAUAGUAAAACCAGCAUAAUAUACUAAUUAAGUUAGCGAGAAUAGGGAGACUUAGAAUGCUCUGGGGCUGGCCUUUCUCAAACGUGCUCGGCUUGUGGUCCGAGCACUCCUGCAGCUCUUCUCCCGGCUCUAGUCCUCCUUGAAGUUCCUACUCUGGGGUUUCCUCCUGCUCCUCGGGUCCCACUUCGUUCUCCUGCAAGCCUAUAUGAUGCAUGUGUGCUUAUGAGUGGAGUGCGAGAUGCCCGGGGUGCAAUGCUUAUGCAAGUGGGUAUCAGAAGACCAUGACAUGGUCCAUAGAUGACAUAGGUGGUUAUUUCUACAAGGUAGUCAACAUCAUCCAAAAACAUGUACUCAGAUUAAUCAUCUAUUGCAUUCUCUUCUACAAGUUGCCUUUAUGGUUAACCAGCAAGCUAACAUGAUGCUUCAAAGAUACACCAAACACCCUUUUAUUCCAUUUAAUUUAUGCAUAACAAUUCAUAAUUUAUUUUAAUUAUUAUUGGACCUACAACAGCAGCAUAUGUUUCUGUUUAUCAAUAAAUUCCAUAAAAAUUACAGUAGAUCACUGGUCAAUCAUAAAGUCUACCAUAAAUUUUUCAUAAUAUUUGGACACUUAUUUUGGGCUACACAAAUUACAAGAUUAUUCAAUAUAAUUAAGUACAAAUACCCUACUGUUGACCAAGUGUCCAACAGAUUUCAUAUUUUUAUAAAUUGCUUGUUAACAUAAGAAACACCCACAAAAAUUUCUAGAUUAAUGGCAUGAUCCAGUUAUUUAUUAAAAAUCAUAAACCACUGCCAUGCAAGCAUUUAAAUCAUCAUAAAUUAAUUUAUACAGAAAAUAAUAUGUGACAUAUUUUUCCUAGAGACUAAUCAUCCAGGCAAAGCUAACAAAACAAGUUUCACCAUUUUCUGAGUUAUAUUUUAAUUGCUAUGCAUUUUCUACUUAUCAACAAAACAUGGAUUAAAUACAUUUGCACAGAAAAGUUGUUCAAACAUGACAUGCAACCACACCAAACUACAGAUCUAGACUUAUAGAACACACCAAAAUUUAUUUCAUCAUUUUUGGAGCCAUAGAUCUCAAGAUAUAGAUUUAAUACCAUUUCAAUCAUUUUCUAGAAAACCUUUUCUAAAAAACCAUUUCAAAUCCGGAACGAAAAAUGCUAGGAACACCCGAUCUCUACCCGCCUCGGUCCUCCUGCGGCUAACAGUGGGUCCCCGACCCCACUGGUCAGCGUGACCGAGAGGGAGAGCACCUCCGACGAGCAGAUCUCGUCGGCGGUGAGGUCUCUAGCCACGAGGUGAGCACCAACGUGCUCCCCGUAGCGAGGCGCACUCGAGGGUGCCAUUGGUUUGGCUGGAGGACGACCGGAACACCCCUGCUGACGUGCAUGGUGGCACGGCAGCGCUGCUCGCCGUGGCCAGGCCACUCCGGCGGAGUAGAACACGUGCGGGGUACCGUCUAAGCUUCCUCGUCACGCUCCGAACCUAACGCGCUCAAGAACAAGCAAAACGGGGCAGAAACGGGAAGGUUUCGACGUGGCAGAGCACUCUAACAAGGUCGGGAGAACUCCGGCGAGAGAUUGCGGUCUCGUGGAGGGUUUUCACCUCGGUAGAGCGCGCGCAGGGGCUUACCGGGGCGAAGGCGAACACGGCGGUGGUCUUGGCGAAGAGAACGGACCACUAACGCGGCCUGCGGCGAGCGGCGGAGCUUCGGCCGGCAAUGGCGCCACGGCGGUUGCUGCUGCUGCGGCUGCGCUCGCGAGCGGAGAAGGAGAGGGAGCGGGGGGGACAGAAUGGCGUCUGGUGGCGCGGGGUGCCGUCCCGACCGGGGUAAGCCGGUCGGCCGAGCGGGCGUCCACGACGCCGGUGUACGGCCGGCACGUGACCGGCGCCGGGUGGAGCGAGGCGGACAUCCGCGCGUGGGAGAGGGGAGGGGAGGCCGGGCCGCGCGGCUUGGAUGGGCGAAAAGGGAGGCGGAUCGGCCCAUCAGCGCCUGCCCCCUUUCCUCUUUUUUUGAAUUUCUUUUCUCCAAUACUUUUUCAAACUUAUUUUGACAAAUUUAUACCCUUUUUCAGCUCUGGCCCCCAAAACAAAAGUUGUUCUAAAUAAAAAGUUCUACAACUUUGUUUCAAGCUGUAAUUCCAAAUUCCUAAUAGAAUUUGAAAUUCCACUCAAAACUAGUUCUAGGUUUUAAAUAAAUUCAUUUUGGGGCUUUUUGUAUAAAAUCCAUUUCUCAAAUUCUAUAGCUCCAAAAAUUUCACAAAAUUAUUCUUAGUUCUUCUAUAACAUAUUUCAAUCUAUUUUGGUCAUUUCAAGAAAUUUAGAAGCCAUAAUAUUUUUAUCAUAUUUAAAUCACAUAAAUUAAGCACAUAAAAUCACACUUGAAUUACUACUAUGCUCAUGUGAUGUUAUGCUUAUGCCAUGCUUGAUGAGAAUGCUUAUGAGAGAGUGUAUGAGACUAAGUGCAUGCUUAACACCUAGGGUGUUACAGCGUCGGAGGGAAAACAACUUCGCCAACAUAAACUGAUGGUUUCCCAAGGACAAGCUUAGUGUCCUAAAAUAAGCACUGAUGAGAUCAUAACAUGAACUUUUAAUUAGUUGCAAUAUUACCUUGUGUAUUGAGCAUAUAAGAAUAAUUGUAAAAAUAUUCCUUCGGGUAUUCUUGUCACUAACCUUUCUAGGAUUGGAGCAAGAAGAUCGGAUGAACGACAAGCAAGUACAAGGUAUGUCCAACCAAUCAUUAUGCAACACUGAAUUAAAUUCAUCCAAACUUUAACUUUGCAAAAUUCAAGCUUGGGGGAGUACCUUACAUAAAAACAUCCUUUGCCAUGUUGCUGUGUUGGUUGUCCCUACCUUUGAGACAUGCUCAAUUGAUUAAAUACUAAUCACACUACUUCAUCUCCACUUGAGUAGAUCUCUAUAAAUGCCAUCACGCUACCUUUGUUUAUCCUAGUAAGUGUUAGUUUGGAAGUACUGCACAUACUUCUAUUGGCUUUUAAAUUAAGCAUGGUGCUUAGGUUAAACAGCCUUCCUUAAUCUGAUUAGACAUGGAGUGUAGUUGGGUUAUUGAACUAAAAACUGCUUGUGUAGACAUUGGUAUAUUUUGUCAGACUAACCCCUGCAGAAAAACUUUCAAUGUCGAUUUGGGAUGUCCUGAGAUAAACUCACAUCGGAGAUGAAGAGAGAGACACAUGAAGUUUAACAAUUUGCACAAGAAGGACAUGGCUCAUUCAUCAUAGAGAGAUGAUCCAUGGAAGGAGACAAAGUACAUAAACAAGAUGCACAACUGCUAAGAAAGGAAGCUUUCACAAGGUGAGAUAGUACCAUCACUCUUCAAUUAAGGUAACAUCUUAAGAUAUGUGACUAUCACUUUUAUAAGUUUCUCCUUGGUUCUGGCGUUCACAUAAAUAAAGAGACAAACAUGUAUGAUUUAUAACUCCAUUAACCAACCCAACUGAUUCGUCAUGUUUAGUCCUUUAAUCUUUGUUCCUAGUACUACCUCCAUGAUCCCACACUAAUCAUAUGAGCUAAAAUGUUGCACAUUCAAUCUUUGGGAAGAUAUAAAGAAAAAGACAUAUACAUAAAUAGAUUAUCUUUCCAUAAGGUUGAGCGAUCUGAUCUGACAAAUGUAUUAAAUGCUGCACUCAAGAACUUAUUACCCAUCAACUUUGUCUUGCUCCCUAUGCUUAAGGAUAGAGAAGAAUAAAUAUACUUUUGGUUCUGUUGGUGUUUUCCACCAACAGGACCCACGCACUUGAUCUUCGCCUCGUCUCUAUGAGCAGGACACAUUUUGAGAAACAUGGAGGAUUUUUCAACUCUCAGACACUACCAAGUGAAGGACCUGGAUCUACGAGCACAAACACACUGAGUAAGAUACUGCCAACGCCACACUUCGAACUGCUCGGCAAAUGAAGAACAUGGGUGACACCGUAUCAAGAGGUGCAGACGUCAAGGUCCACACCUGAAUCAAAUGACGCACCUAAAGAAUGAACACGGUGAGAAGUCUUGUUCAGAAGACUUAAAACAUUGAACCCUUGCCGAAAGGUAAAAUCGGUAGUUAUCCAUAUUUAUCCUUUCUGCAUUCCCUUUUUCCAUAAAUUAUUUACUUCCCUUAAAUAACUUGUUAGUUAAUCAUGCUAUCUUGAAAAGAAAUUAAAAAUAUUAAAACAUUAAGCCCCAUGUGAGUAUGCUCGUGGCAUAAAACCCAUAAGCACGUUCACUGUGGUGGCGUAAAAAUAAAAAUAUUUCUGUUCUAUAAGGUGAAAUGAUAAAAAUAAAUUUAUGAUCCUACCAAAGAGAGUAAUAUUUAUUAGAGGAAGCUCAACAUGAUAAUGGCUAAGAGAUUUUAUGCUAACACCUAACUAGUUCCAUAAAGCUUUGUUGUCUAUUUGAGCUCCACGAAAUUCAAGGAUCAAAGAAGGCUAGCAGACGAAGGACAUCCUAAUUGCUGUCAGGGUGCUGCCGACAUUCAAAUACACCUCCGCCACCUGCUAGCUACAUUAGAAGAAAUUACGUCAAAAUCCAGCUUGGGGGAGAGCACCCCCAUUUAUCCAGCUAAGUGUUUAUAUUCGUGUUUAUACUUUACUCAAAUAAUAAAAAGAUGCAUAAUCAUAAAAACCCAAAUAAAGAUUUUGUGCUCUUAUCUUUGCUUAGUUUGCUAAAUAAAUAAAUAAAAUGUCUAUGCCAAAUUGAACUCCAAUGGUAAACUCUUACAUGGAUAUGAUAAAUAGUUGCUCUCCGAAGUACCUAGUUUUUAAAUUUGAGCCCUCUCUCAAGUUUAGGCAUAACUGUUAUAAUUUAAACCUUGCUCUAAACCUAAACUUGUGGGAAGAGUACCUAAUCAAAAGCCUAAGUCAUUAACGGAUAUGAUAUGGGAAGGUUGAGCUGCUGUUUAUCUAUUCCUAGAGAUACAAGAAUUUUAUCUUUGAAAAUCAUUAAAAUGUUGCAUGAUGAGUUCCUGUAUGAUGAGAGUUUAAAAUCCUACCACAGCCAUAUAUACAUGCUUACUAGACUAUGAACCAUACAUUUACUUUUUACUACUUAUGAGCAUUGAGUGUGGUCAAGCUGUGUAGACCCUUAAGAACUUGUCAUGCGGUUAAAAUCAAGAUUCACUUGCACGUUCACUCAUACAUGCUACUUCUACUCUGGAAGUACGCAUCCAGAUACAUCCACUCAUUUCCAUCUCCAGAUCCACCCAAAAUUAUUCUACUCCUAUUCAGGAGAGAAUAGCUAAAAGCAUUCUCCUAUUUUUGUUUUCCCUGUGAAAUAAAUGCUCGAGAUAUUUUGGUUACUUCCACUUGCUACAUUAUUCCAGGAGGGUGAGUGCUCUAAAAAAAGAGAAGAAAAAGGAAAAAUACGAGGAAAUAAAAAGGGGCAAGUGCCCGGAACCUCGAAGAAAAGAAAAAGUGAGACGAGAGGUAAAAAUGGACAAGUGUCCGACAGUAGAAUUAGGGGUACAAGAUACCCACCGGAGAGAAAAGAAAAAGAAAAUAUAGAGCAUCUCAUUCUCCUCAAAAGCUUCAAAGUGCAAGAAAGGUAUGUAUCCUCUCAAAAGAGCAAAAGUAGAAUUAGACUUUCACCAUUGUUUUCACCAUGAUCAUCAUACACAUUCAUUCACCACACAUGCACAUCUUGAUAUUGACUUAUUGACUUGUUUCUUUGGAUCCAUGGUUUGACUAUGCAAUAAAUGUCUUGUAAGUAUAAAUUAGUUGUCUCCCACCUAUGAGCUCCAGAUGUCAAAACCUUAUUAGAGUAGGGUGAGAGAGAAGGCAUAUACCAUCACUGCCUUGGUAAGGAUCCAGAAAUACCACAAAAGAGAGAAUUAAGAGAGUCAUACAAUGAAUCUCUGAGUUUUAUUUUAAAAAUCUGCAAAAAAAACUCCAGAGUUAUAGUUGAUCAAAGAACAAGAGACAUGGUGCUUGACUAGACCGUUCUAUCUUUUAACUGCUCAAGACACAAGUGACGGUUGAAAGCCCCAUGGUGAAAGGUAAAAUAAGUAAGUUUUAAGUCUUAACAAUUUACCCUAACUCAGAGAUGAGAUCUUGUUUGAACACAUGUGUACCUUUAAGGCAUGAAACCACUGCAGAAACUCUUGAGUCCAUCCUUGCUCAGGAAAGAGCAAGAGGUAAGCUUGGGGGAGUUGUUGACAGUCCUUAAGUACCAAAUUUAAUUAUCAAAUAAACAAAGAAAAGGAUCCAAAUGCAACCAACACCCAAACUUAGGGUUUUAUCUGACAGAAUUCCACAAGUUUUGGUGUUUGUCUAUUUCUGCAGGGGAUUAUCAGGAAAUAUGGAGGAAAGGACCACAUGUCGGGUUUACAUAGAGAUAUUAAUGUGCCGCGCAAUUUUCUAUCAUCUAGAAGACUCCAGAAGCCACAGGAACGAACAAGAAGCCGAGCGGGCCCGGGGGCAGGGCGCCCACCCUCCCCCCUAGGGCGCCCGCCCAGUCAUCUGGACCAAUCAGGCUCCACCUCGCGGAUCAUGCUCCACCGACCUAAUUGAUUAAAGAAAACCGUGCGAUUAAAGUCGGUUUCAUCCGAUGGCUCACAUUCAUUUGGAGGGGCUAUAUAAACAGGACACCUGGCCCUUGGAGGAGGCUCCCCCUUGAUCCCUAUUCAUUAUUCAUAGACAGAGCAAAAGCUAGGGUUUGGAGAUGAGAGCUCUCCUCUCAUCUCUAAACUAGAGUAGAUCAAGAUAGUAGCGAGAUGGAGAGCGACGGAUGAUUGGAGGAGAGGCUGGCCUGUCGGUUCUUCCUCUGGUUGUACUUUGCCAUGAGCAAGCUCUAAUCAAGCUUGCUCAUGGGAUGACUCUGGUAAUCUACUUCUAUUUCAUUAUGCAAUUACUAUCCAUGUAUGUUAUGGUUCACAACUCUUUUGAGUACUUUAAUCUAUAGGAAGCUAUAGUUGAGAGUUGUAGUAUAGGUGUAGCAUGGUCCUUAGACCUAGAUUACUUGUGGAUAUCCCCUGUCUUGUUGGAUCGUGUGGUAGGCCGCAUGGGUGACAGCUACGUUGGUUCUCUGUAGUCCACCUCCCGUUAGCAGGACUGGUAGGGUUUAUCGGCCUAUGGAUAAGCAUCCUUUGUGGUGUAAUCUUAUCACGUGGUUCGUCCCAGACAUAGACAUACCCCUUUGAAGUAGAGAAACCAUAGUUAUCCUCUCUAUUCUCCUACCAUCGCCCAUAUACUAGAUUGCUCUACUCUCUAUUCUCAUAUUAUAACCCAUUGUUAUCUUACCUUUAAUAUUGCUCUUAUUCAAUUCUACCAUCGUUCCUAUUUACACCUACCUAUCUAUCUAGGUUAAGUUAGAGCGAAGAUCAGUUCUCCCGUUUCCCUGUGGAUACGAUAAAACCUUUAAACGGGCUUGCGGAUUUAUCUGUGUGCGUAUAAUUACCAUAGUACACUCUAGUGCCAUGCUGGGGAUGACAACCUAGUAUUCAAGUGGUGUUAGCAAGUGUCAACAAUCACUUUCUUCUUCUACAAAGAAUUUGGAGUCUUCCUCAUAGUUAGGCUGAGCCAUCUCAUUUAGAGUAGCCAUCCUUGCCUUAUCUAGAGGGUCUAGGUCUUGUGGUUUUUUAGCAAUGGAAUUGAUUGCAUGAACGAAGGGUACAGAGUACUCCUCCCUACCAAUUCGAAUAUCAAGGCUCUCUUUGGUAGAUCCCUGUGACAGCAAGGUAGACCAAGGUUGUCCCAAGAAUACGUUGAAAUAGGUAACAUUGAAGACAUAAAAGUCUAAAAGAUCUUCUACCCCUUCAAGGGAUACGAAAAUGAGUUUCACAAUCCCCUUACUUUCUAAGGUGUUACCAUAUAGGUCUCUAAGACAUUGAUUAAUUUGGAAUCAAUGGGCGUCGGUGAAAUUUCUAGCUAAAUAAGAGCUAGAAAUCAUAUUCAACCCAACAACCGUACUGGGCUAAAAUAUGCCUUCCUCCAAUUUGAAAUUUCCAUGUAGUGACAUGGUAGUCAGUGUGGAGUAUGUCAUCGGUUGCCUCAGCUUCUGCAGUCCAUUCAUGGCUUAGUAAAGCUGAGAGUUCUUGCAAACUGUUUUGGCAAGAACUCUCAUCGGAAGGAUCUAGAGAUUGAUCGAUAGAUUGAAUUGCAUGGAUAGGGUAAUGCCUAGCAUUCCCAUAAUCCUCAAACAAAUCAAGUUUAAUAUCAAAAAGGUUGGAUGGACUUUCUCCCUCCUAUCGGAAGUGUGGAGUGGGUUCGGGUUGACUAACCAAGGGUUCAUCGUCAACAGGGAUGGACAGUUUUUCUCCUAGGAACUUCUCUUUUUCGGGGAAUUCAUCAGGAACACUAGUGUAGGGGGUAUUCUCAAGGAUCUUGGUGAGAUCCUCCCAUCCAACAUGCGCUGAAAGAUGAAGAAAUGCCCCGCUUGACGCAUUGUCAAGAUAAGGGGCGGUCUCCUUAUCUAAUCCAAUAUACAAAUGUUGUAAUAACAUUUGAUCUGGAAUGGCUAAGUCGGGUCCCAAAUUGGCCAAAUUGAUAAGUCUAGCCCAAGCUGCUCCGAGGGUCUCUUCCUCCCUUUGUCCAAAGGUAAGAACCUUGUCUCAUAACUGAACUACUCUAACUACAAGGAAGAACGCUAAGGUGAACUUAGUUCGUAAUGCUUCCCAUUCUCCAUCUACACUAUCUACGGUUCGAGCAUGCCACAGUUUGGCUGCUCCCGUCAAAAUGAACGAAAACAACUUCCAUGUAAGGGUUUCAUGUGACAUGCCUGAGAUAUUCUAGCAUGAACACACAUGCUCAAAAUCUCAUAAAUGUGAAUAUGGGUUUUCUUUCGCAUUUCCUGGGAAGGUACACUCCCGAGCUUUAUUGAUAAUGCUCCCGCGUAACUCAUAACUAUCAACCAAUAUAGGUUGGGAUGAUAGAGGUGGUUCUAAUUGUGAACUCUUAGGAGCUGCAAAGUGGAACAUAGAUAAAUUCUCCAUACGGAGAGGAAUAGAAAUCCUGAUUCUAGUCUUUAGAUAUCAGCUAUCGUUCCCCGGCAACAGCGCUAGAAAAGCUUGUUUACACCUUGGGUGGCACACAGAAUUAACCGCAAGCGCACGGCUGUCAGUUGUAGCUUUUCACCAAAGGAGUAUUCCAAGGGUUAUCGAAUCCACAAGGAACGUGAAGUUAUCUAAAGGCUAGAGGGAAGGAUGACUAUGGGGAUAGAGGUAUAGAGGCUAACUACUAUGGUUGGUCCACUACCGUUACUUUACUAAGGAAAUAUAUAUUCCUGACUUAUGCACUAUGAGUGUAACAACUUAAAAUUUGCAAGUUUCCAAAAUAGGAUAAAUUGAUUUAAUUUGUUAUUUUUUUGUGCUCAUAAAACAUAGGAAAAAUUUAUUAUAGGAUUUAGCAACAUGACUGUGCAUUCAUGAUGGUGCAUAUGUUUUGUUGUAUUGUGUGGAUUUGAUCAAAAUUUAAGAUAAUUCAAACUGGUUUCAAAAUGUUUUCAAAUUGGUUUUUAAAUAGGCUUUGAAAUAAAAGAAUAAAAAAAGAGAAGAACUCUCCCUCUCUAUUUUUUGCCCGAUGGCUCAAGUCUCUCCCCUGGCCUGGCCUAUUUCUGUAGCUCGCGAGUGCAGCAGCAGCCUGGCCCGCACAUGCGUAGGUCACCACAACCCACUCUUUCCUCCCACCGUUAUGCUCUUGGGCCGGCACAUCUCGACAGUUAAGCCCGUGUGUGCGUCCUCUCUCUCUUUCCUGUGCAUCUGACUACCUGGCCCUACAUUCUCUCUCGCUGAUGCUUCGGGUCCACAUGUCAGACUCGUCCUCUACCUCGUGACGGAGCCAGACUCCACUAUGAGUUUGAACCCGCCGCGUGGAUUUCUCGCGCUCGGUGUGUUCCGCACGGCUGUGAGCCCUCUAAGUAGAAGCCACGACUUCGCCCAACACCAUCUUUAGCUUACCUCUUGCUCAUCCCUGAGCAAUGAUAAUCUCAGCGAUGGAUCAGAAGUUAUUGUAAUGCCUUUCACCAUGGGACUUGUAACCGUCACUUUUGUCUUGAGUAGUUAAAAGAUAGAACGGUCUAAUCAAGUGUCAUGUCUCUUAUUCUUGAUCAGCUAUAGCUCUGGAGUUUUUGCAGAUUUUCAAAUAAAACUCAGAGAUUCCUUGUAUGACUCUCUUAGAUCUCUCUUUUGUGGUAUUUCUCGAUCCCUACCAAGGCAGUGAUGGUAUAUGCCUUCUCUCAAGAUAUGUAGUACUUGUGGUAUAAGGCAUUAUGUUAUUGCCUUCUCUCUCACCCUACUCUAAUAAGGUUUUUGAUAUCUGGGGCUCAUAGGUGGGAGACAGAUAAUACAUACUUACAAGACAUUUAUUGUAUAGUCAAACGAUGGAUCCAAAGAAACAAGCCAAUAAGUCAAAUCAAGAUGUGCAUGUGUGGCGAAUGAAUGGAGUAUGGUGAUGAUGGUGAUAACAAUGGUGAAAGUCUAAUUCUACUUUUGCUCUUCGAGGGGAUACAUACCUUUCUUGCUCUUUGAAACUUUUUUAGGAGAAUGAGAUGCUCUAUCUUUUCUUUUUCUUUCCUCUCAGGUGGGUAUCUUGUACCCCUAAUUCUACUGUCGGACACUUGUCCAUUUUUACCUCUCGUCUCACUUUUUCUUUCAUUUCUUUCGAGUUUCUGGGCACUUGUCCCUUUUUAUUUCCUCGUAUCUUGUCUCUUUUUUUAGAGCACUCAUCUCUUGAAAUAAUAUAGCAAGUGGUAGUAACA
This 45146-nucleotide long non-coding RNA is filed under the name Sorghum bicolor (sorghum). RNAcentral describes it as "long non-coding RNA (SBIC_LNC006537)". The record is from RNAcentral. Lineage: Eukaryota; Viridiplantae; Streptophyta; Magnoliopsida; Poales; Poaceae.